Molecule: long non-coding RNA, 52329 nt
Filed under: Gossypium barbadense (sea-island cotton)
Lineage: Eukaryota; Viridiplantae; Streptophyta; Magnoliopsida; Malvales; Malvaceae
Description: long non-coding RNA (GBAR_LNC003020)
Source: RNAcentral
ACUGUUUGGCGUAGGUUUAAUUAUGUUAGUGGGCCUUUAGAAGGCCCAAGUUUAAGAUUAAGUCUAGGGUUUAAUUAAUUUUGAUCCAUAAGGGAAAAGGGGGUUCUGAUUAACAUGGGUCUUAAAUAUUAUUUGGGUAAAAUAAGACAUAAGAAAUCAAGUGGCAAAGUGGCAUGUGGCGCCACUAGGAAGGUUAUAAAAGUGGCAUGUAGAAGUGUAGGAAGAGCCCAAGUUCGAGUCGCAAGACAAGCAAAUAAGGUGUUUAUUUUUGUGCACAAAAAGGGGAGGUGAUGGAACUCAAGGGGGAACUAUGUUAAGGAGAGUUUAAGAUGAUAAGGGGAUUGAGUAAGGAUAAAGAUAAGGGAGGAAAUCUAGGAGCUGAUCAAGGAGCAAGAGGUGGCCGGCCAAGGGAUUUUAGCAUGGGAAAUUCGGCUAGGGUAAUGCUUGUAUUAAUUCGGCACAAGGGGGUAAGUGAGCCGUUUUCUGAUCACUCUUCCUCUCCUUUUAUUUUUCUUUUUUCUCUCCAUUUGUUUUCUUUUCUUCUUCUUUUCCCCAUAGCUGAAUCCUUCAGCCAUCUUACUCUAUACCACCUUCCUUCCAUUAUUUUUAAGACUGUAGCCGAUUGCCUCAAAUCCCGAAAUCCCAAAAACUUGAUUCCUCUUAUACCAAUUUCCCUAGCCAAUUCUCUUAUUUUUUUCUCAUCAUCUUUGGCCAAUUCUCUCAUCCUCUAAACCCCAAGUUUCUGUCGACAAUACCACAGUAAAACCCUCAUAUUUUAGCUUUCUCUACACUAUUGCAAAAAAGCCGAAAAUCCCACACUAUCCUAAGGACAUAGCCGAAUACUGAGAUCACUGAAGGCUUGACUUUUGUUAUCGUUUGAGGGGUUAAAGCUGUAACAGAAUCAAGUAGGAACUAAGGGGGGACAUUGACUGAAAGAAUCGGUGGUAAGGCUUCCCAACUUAGUCUAUCUUUCGUAUUUUAAGAAAGGGAGGUUGUCAUUUUUGGACUUGUAUCCCUAAGGGGUUGUGGUAAUAGUAUUAAUUUGGUAAUAGUAUGAUUAAGAGGCUGUUGAUCAAGGGCUUGGACAAGUGGAGCGAACGGAUCUGGAUCGAGACAUUGCUUUCGGCAAAGGUAGGAACGCUAAGGCCUAAGGAGUUGUUGGUCGAAUAUGGUAAGGAGUUAAUAUGUAGUUCGUUUCGGUAGUUAGAUUAACGUGAUAGUAAUAUAUUUUGUAGGCAGUUCGUGCGUGGAUCUCGUCAGUGAAUCGUCAUAAAACAGGUGUGUAACUGACACCCUCUCAUAGACUAGAUCGGCAAAAGCUGAAAAGCUGAAAUGCCGAAAAGCCGGUAUUUUGUGGGCUGGCGAGUGUACGAAUGGUCGUAAGAAAGACUGAUUAGCGUAUUUGGUAAAUUCAAGUGUUAAGACUGUAGAAUGCGAUAUUUUGUGCAUUAUGACGUUUUGGGCUGGGCCAAUGGGCCAACAGGCCCACUUUGGUUAAAAGACGAGGUAAGUGCUUCCGAAUACUUGGUAACGCUAAAACGGGCAUGAAACCCUAGCCAUAGGUUAUAAUUACUGAAAUACCCUUAUGCAUGCAAAAUUACCAUUAUACCCCUAGAUGUAAAUUGACCAUUAUACCCUUAGGGUUAUUUUGACUAAAAAGCAUGAUGACCUGAUUCUGUAUGAUGUAUGCCAUGAUUGUGAAUCUGUGCACGGGGACAUGGGUUAUAUUAUGGAGGAAACAUCCUGGUGGCUAUGCCACAAAUUAUCUGAUCUGGUGGCUCUGCCACAUAUAUAUCUAUUCUGGUGGCUCUGCCACGAUUAUCUGUAUCUGGUGACUCUGUCACAUUAUCUGUUCUGGCAGCCAUGCUGCAUAUUUCUGAGGCGUGUAGCGGUUGGGUGGGUCGAGUAGUCUCCCCACAUGGUGAAAGGUUGGUAAGGGGGUGUAUGUGGUUGGUUAUGGGUUGGGUUCUGCAUAUCCAUGAAAUAUCCGAUCUGAUUUAUUAUGGGCCUAUGGGCUUAACUGUUCUGGGCUAAGGCCAAUUUAUUCUGCUUCUGUGGUUUGAGCUGAUAUGGGCUAUGGUUGGGUUUAUUUUACACACUGAGUUUCCCCAAACUCAUCCCCUAUCUUCAUCCAUGCAGGUAACCCCCAACCAUAGUGGGCUUGGAGCUGCGAGGGAUUCGGAGUGGCCAUUCGUUCUGCAAUAUGGUUUCCUUCUGGUGAAUUGGACUUCAUUUUUCAUUUACUUUGAUGAUUUGGAUUUUAUUAUGUAAUAAGGCCGCUCUAUUUUUUUUUGUGGGUUUGGUUUAUAUUUUAUUAUGAUGAACUUAAAUUAUAUUAACUAUCAAAAUGGGCUAGAUCUAGGGUUCGUUUUCUAAAACAUAAAUUAAUUUCAAAGUAACACGAUUACAAACAAGGCUUCUACUAUGGUAACGUUUUCCAAAUUUAAAUAUGUUUUAUUCUAAAAUGGACAUAAAUACAAUGGUAACCUAAAAAUAUACGCGCUAUUAGAGUGUGGCAACGGCAGUGUGCAUGUCUAGGAUUGGAUCCGAAAGAGCUUGGUACUUAAGCAGUCCGAUGGACUCACAUUCUCUUUUCUGGUUUCCUACCAGGUGCACAGCUUCCAUUCACUUUAACCCUUAAUGAAUUAAUCCUUUGAACAUCAAGUACGAUUUUCUAGACAUAGGAAUGUUAAAAGUGUUGAUGUGGCACGUCGGUUCCGGUCAUAAAGUCUAGGCCAGGUUUGGGGUGUUACAUUUCCCAAAUAAUGAAAAGGAUUUAGUUUUUAUAUAAAUUGAUCCUUUUUUAGUAGAGAAAAUGUGGAGCGUACAUCAUUGACAUUUUUGGAGUUUCAUUCUCGAUCUUGAUAAAAACAAGUAAUUUAAAGGAAGAAGAAUAAGGAAAUCAAGUUAAUACUUUGAAUCAUUACAUCAUUUUUGACGUGGAUUUCGAGACUGCCUCUCCUCUAUGGAAACGAAAGUGGUCAUAACUAUUAGAUUAGCAUCGAAGGAGUGAAAAUGGAAAAUGAAUCAAAUGAGUCCAUAGGCAAGGAACUAUUACAAAUUACAGUGCACGUCCUUUGGAGGAUAUUUCGUGGCACGAUAUGUGUCUUUUCAAAACUUCGAGAAGUCAAGGCAUUUUUCCAUCAAAGGCAAUGUGAAUUUAAAUUGUAUAAAGACUUUCAAGGAAUCGAGGUUGUUUCAAUUUCACACCACGCUAGAACAUUCCAAGUCCACAUUAUUGACAUGAACUUAAUGUUUAUAAUAAUGAUAUUUGUGUCAAUUUAAACAAUGUGAAACAAUAUGUAGUGCUCGAUUUGAGAUGGUUAUCGAGUUCCACUGCUAUAAACUUAAAAAUAAUGGCAUGUAUAAAAUCAUUGUGUAUUAAGUAAUGGCUUCUAUAGAACCAUUUAAUUUCCGUACAACUAAAUAUAAUUUAAGUAGGCUUUAAAUUUAAUGACACAUUUUAAUGAAGCUUUCGGAACAAUAUCAAAACUAAAGACAAAAGAACAAUUUUGGCCCUUUACGUCUGGUAACCGUUUUUUUGCUUUAGCAAUCCUAUAUCCUUAAGCAGACGGAGAUGGUGAAUAGAUCAAUGCAACGCAAUUAUUCCAUGUCUGAAUCCUCUUAACUAUAAUUGUCGCUGGGUUUAGGUCUUUGAAUACAGGAUUUUCAAGAGUCAUCUUUACUAAUGCUGAGUGGCAAACUUUUCCCAACACAACAAUUUCGCUGCAACACUUGUUAGAAAUACUCCCUGUAUUAAAAUACUCAUGAAAGCUUCUAGAACACAGGGCAAACCCAUUUUCGUUUCACAAUUAUUUCCCUUUAUAAUCUAGUCGUUCACCUACGUAGCCAUUACUACCCCACAAGUUAAAAAUAAAACCACUAGUACGGAAUAAACAUUAAGGCUUCCCAUGCUGUGUGAAUCUGAUGUUACUAGUUAAACUUGGUUCCUAAAAUUAAUUUCGAACGAGAUUUGCAGAGGAAAAAAAUGGCAUUUAUAGGAAGUGUUAUAACCACAUUAGACUAAAAUACGUUACAAUAAAAUAAAACAUUGAAUAUUUCAAUUUAAUUAGAACAUUCAAUAUUUCAGUUUAAUAAGCAUUAAUUUUUAUUACUACAAAUCAAAAUAUUAAUUCAAAAACACACAUUUAUACUUCCCUUUAUAAUUCUUAAAUGGCAUUAAACGGAUCACUUAAAUAAGGUUCAAUAAAGAUGAUUAUGUCCUACAUGUGUUUUUGCCUUGAAACUAGGAUUGAACUAUUUCGUCCACUCUAAGAAAACACCUGGACGGUAAUAUGGAGAAAAUAACAUAUGGAAAAAGCAAUAUGGGAUAUAGUACAUGUGCAUGACAGGCACACAUAUUCGUUAUGCAUGCCAUCCUAUUUUUCUAAUUUUUUGAAGUUGUGUAUGCACAUGUUAUGUUGAUCGUUAAAAAUUCACGUGCAUCUCAAAAUUGAAUAAGCUAUACCAGAUUGCCCUAACAGUGAUAUGUAUGUGCCACAAUGUAGAAAUAAUUAUGCAAAGCGUAAAAUCUUAUAACCUUGUUGUUGUUAAAAAGUUUUUAUCACACUUAUCAUAUUUGUAAAAUGUAAAAUGGAAACUAAAUGAUUGACAUUUAAAAUUAAUUCAUCAACAAUAUUUCACGUUCUGAUAUUAAGUCGAUGUAUGUCUUUAUCGUGGGACUCCAAUUCGGUUAUUGUCUUCUUCGUUCUACGUUAAAUUUUUAGGUGUAAGCGUUCUGGCCCAAUUUUAGUGAAAUAUGAAUGAAAGCUUUUAGUGGAAUAAGUAACAGAGCUUGGAAAAUGAAAAAUUCUAUUAGAGAGUGAAAUUGGAAACAACAAAUGACGUUUCAUUUUUAUAACUCUCGUAGGAAUUUCCCGAAUAAUGAAUAGGAUUUAGUUUUUAUAUAAAUUGAUCCUUUUUUAAUAGGGAAAAUGUGGGGCAUACGUCGCCGACAUAUUUGUAGUUUCAUUCUCGAUAUUGAUAAUUUAAAGGAAGAAGAAUAAGGAAAUCAAGUUAAGACUUUGAAUCGUUACAUCAUUUUUGACGUGGAUUUCGAGAUUGCCUCUCCUCUACAGUAACGAAAGUGGUCAUAACUGUUAGAUUAGUAUCGAAGGACCGAAAAUGGAAAAUGAAUCAAAUGAGUCCAUAGGCAAGGAACUAUUACAAAUUACAGUGCACGUACUUUGGAGGAUAUUUCGUGGCACGAUAUGUGUCUUUCAAAACUUCGAGAAGUCAAGGCAUUUUUCCAUCAAAGGCAAUGUGAAUUUAACUUGUAUAAAGGCUUUCAAGGAAUCGAGGUUGUUUCAAUUUCACACCACGUUAGAACAUUCCAAUUCCACAUUAUUGACAUGAACUUAAUGUUUAUAAUAAUGAUAUUGGUGUCAGUUUAAACAAUAUGAAACAAUAUGUAGUGCUCGACUUGAGAUGAUUAUCGUGUUCCGCUGCUAUAAAAUUAAAAAUAAUGGCAUGUAUAGAAUCAUUGUGUAUUAUGCAAUGGCUUCUGUAGAACCAUUUAAUUUCUGUACAACUAAAUAUAAUAUAACUAGGCUUUAAAUUUAAUGACACAUUUUAAUGAAGCUUUUGAAACAAUAUCAAAAAUAAAGACAAAAGAACAAUUUUGGCCCUUUACGUUUGGUAACCGUUUUGUAGCUUUAGCAAUCCUAUAUCCUUAAGCAGACGGAGAUGGUGACUCGAUAAAUGCAAGGAAAUUAUUCCAUGUCUGAAUGCUCUUAGCUAUAAUUGUCGCUGGGUUUAGGUAUUUGAAUACAGGAUUUUCAAGAGUCCUCUUUACUAAUGCUGAGUGGCAAACUUUUCCCAACACAACAAGUUCGCCGCAACACUUGUUAGAAAUACUCCCUAUAUUGAAAAUACUCAUGAAAGCUUCUAGAACACAGGGCAAACCCAUUUGCUUCUCCUUAAUAAUCUGGUCGUUCUCCUUCGUAGCCAUUACUACCCCACAAGUUAAAAAUAAAACCACUAGUACGGAAUAAACAUUAAGGCUUUCCAUGUUGUGCGAAUCUGAUGUUACUAGUUAAACUUGGUUCCUAAAAUUAAUUUCGAACGAGAUUUACAGGGGAAAAAACUGGCAUUUAUAGGAAGUGUUAUAACCACAUUAGACUAGAAUACAUUACAAUAAAAGAAAACAUUCAAUAUUUCAAUUUAAUUCUAACAUUCAAUAUUUUAGUUUAAUUAGCAUUAAUUUUUAUUACUACAAAUCUAAAUAUUAAUUCAAAGACACAUAUUUACACUUUCCUUUAUAAUUCUUAAAUGGCCUUAAACGGAUCACUUAAAUAAGAUUCAAUAAAGAUUAUUAUGUCGUACAUGUGUUUUUCUGCGUUGAAACUAGGAUUGAACUAUUACGUCUGUUAGAAUUAAGUGACCCAAAUUCUUAUUUAAAUAAAAUACGAUGGAAAAUAAAAUAAAAGUAAAAUCCAUAUAGAACUAGACUUCUUUUAUUUUAUUUUAGAAUAAGGUUUUUUAAACCUUAUUAAACUUCAUCUAUUUUAUAUUGAUUAGGAUAAGGUGUUUCAAUCCUACUAGAAUAUGGCUUUACAAGCCUAUAAAUAGACAUAGUCUAUUCCUCUUGUAUUGAUUCAAAUUUUUCGACAUAGUGAAUUUUCUUCUCCUUUGCCCGUGGUUUUUUCCCGAAAGGGUUUCCACGUAAAAUUUGUGUGUUCUUUAUUUUUUUUCUCAAAUUGGUAUCCGAGCUUCCGGGUUAUUCAUCUCGAUCACGGUAAUGGCGUCUUUGAAGUAUGAAAUUCUGCUGUUGGAUCGCAACACCAAAUUUGCAUUGUGGCAAAUUAAGAUGCAAGUAGUUCUUGCACAAAUGGAUCUGGAGGAUGCCCUGCUAGGGAUAGAUAAGAUGCCUUUGACAUUAACAGAUGAAGAGAAGAAGCGUAAGGAUCGAAAGGAUCGAAAGGUGUUAACACAAUUACUUCUGCUUUUGUCCAACGAAAUUUUGCAGGAUGUGAUGAAAGAGAAGACUGUCGCUGCAUUAUGGAAGAGGCUAGAACAAAUAUGUAUGUCGAAAACUCUAACAAGCAAGUUGCAUAUGAAGCAGUGUCUUUAUCUCAUCGUUUGGAGGAAGGUGCGUCUGUACACAAACACUUAACAGUGUUUAAAGAAAUUCUCUCAAACUUGGAGGCCAUGGAGGUUCAGUAUGAUAAGGAAGAUCUAGGGUUGAUUCUAAUUUGUUCGUUGCCCCCGUCUUAUUCAACCUUUAGAGACGAUUUUUUAUAGCUGCGAGUCUCUCACAGUUGAUGAGGUUUAUGAUUCUUUAACCUCGUAUGAUAAAAUGAAGCAUCUUGUGGUUAAACCCAACUCUCAGGGAGAAGGUCUCAUUGUUCGUUGGAGACAAGAUCGGAAUGCUGAUGAUAAUCGUGGUAGGCCACAGGAACGGAAUCCUCAUGGUAAAUCUAAAGGUAGAUCGAAGUCUUCAAAUAGAGGUAAAACUUGUAACUUCUGCAAGAAGAAAGGGCACAUUAAAUCUGAGUGCUAUAAGCUACAAAAUAAGAUUAAAAGGGAGGCUGCGAAUCAAAAGGGAAAACAACUAGAAAAUUUCGGUGAAGAUGAUGUUGUAGAAGAUUACAGUGAUGGUGAACUUCUAGUUGCUUCUAUCAAUGAUUCUAAAGUAAGCGAGGAAUGGAUACUUGAUUCAGGCUGCACCUUCCACAUGAGUCCCAAUCGGGAUUGGUUUAUAACUUAUGAAACAGUGUCUGAAGGUGUUGUUUUGAUGGGAAAUAAUGUUUCGUGUAAAAUCGCAGGUGUUGGAACAGUUAAAGUUAAGAUGUUUGAUGGAGUUGUCAAAACACUUAGUGUGGUACGACAUGUUCCAGAAUUGAAGGGUACAGAUAUACAGCUGAAAGUGGGAUUUUAAAGAUUUCCAAAGGUUCCCUUGUUGUGAUGAAAGGGCAAAGAAAAACUUCCAAGUUAUAUGUUUUGCAGGGUUCUAGUGUUACUGAUGAUGCAGCUGUCGCUUCCUCUUCCUUGUCAAAUGAUGAUAUUACUAAACUUUGGCAUAUGUGCCUAGGGAAUAUGAGUGAGAAUGGCAUGGUAGAAUUGAGUAAAAGAGGACUUUUUGAUGGGCAAGGAAUUUGUAAACUAAAUUUCUGUGAGCACUGUGUUUUUGGGAAGCAAAAGAGAGUUCGAUUCACUAGAGGAAUCCAUAACACGAAGGGAAUAUUGGAGUAUAUUCAUUCUGAUCUGUGGGGGCCAUCUAGAGUGCCUUCGAGAGGUGGAGCUAAUUAUAUGCUAACCUUUAUUGAUGAUUUUUCCAGAAAAGUUUGAACGUUCUUCCUGAAGAAGAAAAGCGAUGUGUUUUUCGCAUUUAAGUUUUGGAAAAUUAUGAUUGAAAAAACAGACAGGAAAAUAGAUAAAAUACCUCUGCAUAGAAAAUGGCUUAGAGUUCUGUUCUGAUGAGUUUAAUAGAUUGUGCAAGUCAGAAGGGAUCAUGAGACACUUGACAAUUUAUCAUACUCCACAACAAAACAGCGUUGUAGAACGAAUGAACAGAACGAUCAUGGAGAAGGUUCGAUGUAUGUUGUCAAAUGCCAACUUAUCGAACUCAUUUUGGGCAGAAGCAGCCUCUACUGCAUGUUUUUUAAUCAACCGAUCUCCAUCUGUUGCCAUUGAGAAAAAGACUCCACAAGAGGUAUGGUCUGGUAAUCCUACUAAUUAUUCUAAUUUAAAGAUUUUUGGGUGUCCUGCGUAUGCUCAUGUUGAUAAUGGAAAAUUGGAACCGAGAUCCAUUAAAUGCUUUUUUCUUGGUUAUAAAGCUGGUGUAAAAGGGUAUAAGUUAUAGCGUCCUGAAAAUAGAAAAGUUGUGAUUAGCAAAGAUGUUGUUUUUGAUUGAACUGCUAUGCUACCUAACUUAUCUCUUAAAGACUCUUCCAAUAAAGAAAAUCAAAAACAGGUGGAGCAUCAGAUUAAUACAGAGUCAACUCCUCAAGCUAGAACAAAAGUUGAGAAUAGAGUUGCUUCUUCACCACAAUACUCUAUCGCCAAAAAUAGAACUAGAAGAGAAAUUAAACCUCCAAAGAAGUAUGCCGAGGCUGAUCUAGUUUCUUAUGCUAUAAAUGUGGCUGAAGAUAUAGAUGCGAAUCAAGAGCCAUCUAAUUAUUUUGAGGCGGUUAGCUGUGAAGACUUAGAAAAGUGGAUGUUUGCUAUGCAAGAAGAGAUGGAAUCACUCUACAAAAACAGAACAUGGGAUCUUGCGAAACUUCCUAAAGGUAAAAAGGUUGUUCGUUGUAAAUGGGUGUUUAAAAAGAAAGAAGGGACUCCAGGAGUUGAAGAACCCAAAUAUAAAGCAAGGCUUGUUGCAAAGGGUUACAGUCAAAUUCCAGGAGUGGACUUCACAGAUGUGUUCUCUCCAGUUGUUAAGCAUAGUUUGAUUCGAGCUUUGCUUGGUAUUGUGGCCAUGCAAGAUUUUGGAGCUUGGGCAGUUAGAUGUAAAAACUGCAUUUCUGCAUGGAGAACUUGAGGAGGAUAUUUACAUGCAACAACCAGAGGGUUUUAUAGUCUCAGAAAAAGAAGACUAUGUUUGCUUGCUGAAAAAGUCCCUUUACGGUUUGAAACAGUCACCAAGACAGUGGUACAAGAGGUUUGAUUCCUUUAUGACUUCUCAUGAUUUCAAAAGAAGUAGUUUUGACAGUUGUGUUUACUUUAAGAAAAAUAGUGAUGGUUCUUUUGUGUAUCUACUUCUUUAUGUUGAUGACAUGUUGAUAGCAGCAAAAGAUAAAUGAGAGAUAAGAAAUGUUAAAACCCAACUAAGUAAAGAAUUUGAGAUGAAAGAUUUAGGACCAACAAAGAAGAUACUUGGAAUGGAGAUUCUCAGAGAUAGAAAAAUAAGUAAAUUGUACCUAAGUCAGAAGGGGUACAUUGAGAAAGUUCUUUGCAGGUUCAAUAUGCAGAGUGCUAAGCCUGUUAGUACUCCUUUAGCAGCCCAUUUCAGACUUUCAUCAGUUUUGUCUCCACAAUCAGAUGAUGAGAUUGAGUACAUGUCACAUGUUCGAUACUCUAGUGCAGUGGGAUCUAUCAUGUAUGCUAUGGUUUGUUCAUGUCUAGAUUUAUCAUAUGCAGUCAGUGCAGUUAGCAGAUACAUGGAGAAUCCCGGUAAAGAACACUAGAAAGCAGUUCAGUGGAUUCUAAGAUACUUACGAGGUACUACUGAUGUUUGCUUACAGUUUGGAAGAACUAAAGAUGGGGUCAUAGGGUAUGUUGAUGCUGAUUUUGCUAGAGACCUUGAUAAAAGAAGAUCUCUCACAGGUUAUGUCUUUACAAUCAGAGGUUGUGCAAUCAGUUGGAAAGCCACUUUGCAGUCUACAGUUGCUUUGUCUACCACUGAAGCUGAGUACAUGGCGAUUACUGAGGUUUGUAAAGAAGCUAUUUGGUUGAAGGGACUCUUUAGUGAACUCAAUGAAGACUUUCAAAUCAGCACAGUAUUUUGUGACAGUCAGAGUGCCAUCUUUCUUACAAAAGAUCAAAUGUUUCAUGAGAGAACAAAACACAUUGAUGUUCGGUAUCAUUUUGUUCGUGAUAUUAUUGCUCAAGGUGAUAUUGUUGUGAGCAAAAUUAGUACUCAUGAAAAUCCUGCAGAUAUGAUGACUAAGUCACUUCCUAUAACCAAGUUUGAGCAUUGCUUAGACUUGGUUGGUGUACAUUGUUGAAGUUAAACCCUUAAGGGGUUUUAUGGAAGAGGUGGAGAACUUGUUUAUAGAAAGUUCGCGAUGAAGAACUUGUUCAUUGAGAAUUUGUUUCAAGGUGGAGAUUGUUAGAAUUAAGUGACCCAAAUUCUUAUUUAAAUAAAAUACUAUGGAAAAUAAAAAAAAGUAAAAUCCAUAUAGAACUAGACUUCUUUUAUUUUAUUUUAGAAUAAGGUUUUUUAAACCUUAUUAAACUUCAUCUAUUUUAUAUUGAUUAGGAUAAGGUGUUUCAAUCCUACUAGAAUAUGGCUUUACAAGCCUAUAAAUAGACAUAGUCUAUUCCUCUUGUAUUGAUUCAAAAUUUUUGACAUAGUGAAUUUUCUUCUCCUCUACCCGUGGUUUUUUCCCGAAAGGGUUUCCACGUAAAAUUUAUGUGUUCUUUCUAUUAUAUUUUAUAUUUUUAUUUUAUUUUAGUUUUCUCAACUUCCACUCCAAACAAACACCUAGACGGUAACAUGGAGAAAAAACAUAUGGAAAAAGCAAUAUGGGAGAUAGUACACAUGCAUGACAGGCACACAUAUUCGUUAUGCGUGCCAUCCUAUUUUUCUAAUUUUUUGAAGUUGUGUAUGCACAUGUUAUGUUGAUGGUUAAAAAUUCACGUGCAUCUCAAAAUUGAAUGAGCUAUACCAGAUUCCUCUAACAGUGAUAUGUAUGUGCCAGAAUAUAGAAAUAAUUAUGCAAAGUGUAAAAUCUUAUAACCUUGUUGUUGUUAAAAAAAUUUAUCACACUUAUCAUAUUUCUAAAAUGGAAAAUGGAAACUAAAUGAUUGACAUUCAAAAUUAAUUCAUCAACAAUAUUUCAUGUUAUGAUAUUAAGUCGAAUUAUGUCUUUAUCGUGGGACUCCAAUUCGGUUAUUGUCUUCUUCGUUCCACGUUAAAUUUUUAGGUGUAAGUGUUCCGGCCCAAUUUUACUGAAAUAUGAAUGAAAGCUUUUAGCGGAAUAAGUAACAGAGCUUGGAAAAUGAAAAAUUCUAUUAGAGAGUGAAAUUGGAAACAACAAAUGACGUUUCAUUUUUAUAACUCUCGUAGGUAUUUCCCAAAUAAUGAAAAGGAUUUAGUUUUUAUAUAAAUUGAUCCUUUUUUAGUAGGGAAAAUGUGGGGCGUACGUCGUUGACAUUUUUGGAGUUUAAUUCUCGAUCUUGAUUAAAACAAGUAAUUUAAAGGAAGAAGAAUAAGGAAAUCAAGUUAAGACUUUGAAUCGUUACAACAUUUUCGACAUGGAUUUCGAGAUUGCCUCUCCUCCACGGAAACAAAAGUGGUCAUAACUAUUAGAUUAGUAUCGAAGGAGUGAAAAUGGAAAAUCAAACAAAUGAGUCCAUAGGCAAGGAACUAUUACAAAUUAUAGUGCACGUACUUUGGAGGAUAUUUCAUGGUACGAUAUGUGUCUUUUCAAAACUUCGAGAAGUCAAGGCAUUUUCCAUCAAAGGCAAUGUGAAUUUAAAUUGUAUAAAGACUUUCAAGGAAUCGAGGUUGUUUCAAUUUCACACCACGCUAUAACAUUCCAAGUCCACAUUAUUGACAUGAACUUAAUGUUUAUAAUAAUGAUAUUUGUGUCAAUUUAAACAAUGUGAAACAAUAUAUAGUGCUCGAUUUGAGAUGGUUAUCCAGUUCCACUGCUAUAAAAUUAAAAAUACUGGCAUGUAUAAAAUCAUUGUGUAUUAAGUAAUGGCUUCUAUAGAACCAUUUAAUUUUCGUACAACUAAAUAUAAUUUUACAAGGCUUCAAAUUUAAUGACACAUUUUAAUGAAGCUUUCGGAACAAUAUCAAAAAUAAAGACAAGAGAACAAUUUUGGCCCUUUACCUCUGGUAACUGUUUUUUAGCUUUAGCAAUCCUAUAUCCUUAAGCAGACGGAGAUGGUGAAUCAAUCAAUGCAAGGCAAUUAUUCCAUCUCUGAAUGCUCUUAGCUAUAAUUGUCGCUGGGUCUAGGUCUUUGAAUAUAGGAUUUUCAAGAGUCCUCUUUACUAAUGCUGAGUGGCAAACUUUUCCCAACACAACAAGUUCGCCGCAACACUUGUUAGAAAUACUCCCUGUAUUGAAAAUACUCAUGAAAGCUUCUAGAACACAAGGCAAACCCAUUUUAGUUUCACAAUUAUUUUCCUUAAUAAUCUGGUAGUUCUCCUUCGUAGCCAUUACUGCCCCACAAGUUAAAAAUAAAACCACUAGUACGGAAUAGACAUUAAGGCUUGCCAUGUUGUGCGAAUCUGAUGUUACUAGUUAAACUUGGUUCGUAGAAUUAAUUUCGAACGAGAUUUGCAGGGGAAAAACUGGCAUUUAUAGGAAGUGUUAUAACCACAUUAAACUAGAAUACGUUACAAUAAAGAAAACAUUCAAUAUUUCAAUUUAAUUCUAACAUUCAAUAUUUCAGUUUAAUUAGCAUUAAUUUUCAUUACUACAAAUCUAAAUAUUAAUUCAAAGACACACAUUUAUACUUCCCUUUAUAAUUCUUAAAUGGCAUUAAACGGAUCACUUAAAUAAGGUUCAAUAAAGAUGAUUAUGUCGUACAUGUGUUUCUGCGUUGAAACUAGGAUUGAACUAUCACGUCCACUCCAAACAAACACCUGGACGGUAAUAUGGAGAAAAAAAACUUAUGGAAAAAGCAAUAUGGGACAUAGUACACUUACAUGACAGGCAUACAUACUCGUUAUGCGUGCUAUCCUAUUUUUCUAUUUUUUUGAAGUUGUGUAUGCGCAUGUUAUGUUGAUGAUUAAAAAUUCACGUGCAUCUCAAAAUUGAAUGAGCUAUACCAGAUUCCCCUAACAGUGAUAUGUAGGUGCCACAAUGUAGAAAUAAUUAUGUAAAGCAUAAAAUCUUAUAACUUUGUUGUUGUUAAAAAGUUUUCAUCACACUUAUCAUAUUUUUAAAAUGUAAAAUGGAAACUAAAUGAUUAACAUUCAAAAUUAAUUCAUCAACAAUAUUUCACGUUCUGAUAUUAAGUCAAUGUAUGUCUUUCUCGUGGGACUCCAAUUCAGUUAUUGGAUUCUUCGUUCUACGUUAAAUUUUUAGGUGUAAGCGUUCUGGCCCAAUUUUACUGAAAUAUGAAUUAAAGCUUUUAGUGGAAUAAGUAACAGAGCUUGGAAAAUGAAAAAUUAUAUUAGAGAGUGAAAUUGGAAACAACAAAUGAUGUUUCAUUUUUAUAACUCUCGUAGGUGUUUCCCAAAUAAUGAAUAGGAUUUAGUUUUUAUAUAAAUUGAUCCUUUUUUAGUAGGGAAAAUGUAGGGCGUACGUUGCCGACAUAUUUGGAGUUUCAUUCUCGAUCUUGAUAAAAACAAGUAAUUUAAAGGAAGAUGAAUAAGGAAAUCAAGUUAGGACUUUGAAUCGUUACAUCAUUUUCGACUUGGAUUUCGAGAUUGCCUGUCCUCUGCGGAAACGAAAGUGGUCAUAACUAUUAGAUUAGUAUCGAAGGAGAAAAAUGGAAAAUAAAACAAAUGAGUCGAUAGGAAAGGAACUGUUGCAAAUUAUAGUGCACGACCUUUCGAGGAUAUUUCGUGGCAGGAUAUGUGUCUUUUCAAAACUUCGAUAAGUCAAGGCAUUUUUCCAUCAAAGGCAAUGUGAAUUUAAAUUCUAUAAAGGCUUUCAAGGAAUCCAGGUUGUUUCAAUUUCACACCACGCUAGAACAUUCCAAUUCGUCAUUAUUCACAUGAACUUAAUGUUUAUAAUAAUGGUAUUUGUGUCAAUUUAAACAAUGUGAAACAAUAUGUAGUGCUCGAUUUAAGAUGGUUAUCAUGUUUCGGUGCUAUAAAAUUAAAAAUAAUGGCAUGUAUAAAAUCAUUGUGUAUUAGGUAAUGGCUUCUAUAGAACCAUUUAAUUUCCGUACAACUAAAUAUAAUUUGAGUAGGCUUUAAAUUUAAUGACACAUUUUAAUGAAGCUUUCGGAACAAUAUCAAAAAUACAUACAAUAGAACAAUUUUGGCCCUUUACAUCUGGUAACCAUUUUUUAGCUUUAGCAAUCCCAUAUCCUUAAGUAGACGGAGAUGGUGAAUCAAUCAAUGCAAGGAAAUUAUUCCAUGUCUGAAUGCUCUUAGCUAUAAUUGUCGCUGGGUUUAGGUCUUUGAAUACAGGAUUUUCAAGAGUCCUCUUUACUAAUGAUGAGUGGCAAACUUUUCCCAACACAACAAGUUCGCCGCAACACUUAUUAGAAAUACUCCCUGUAUUGAAAAUACUCGUGAAAGCUUCUAGAACACAAGGCAAACCCAUUUUAGUUUCACAAUUAUUUUCCUUAAUAAUCUGGUAGUUCUCCUUCGUAGCCAUUACUACCCCACAAGUUAAAAAUAAAACCACUAGUACGGAAUAGACAUUAAGGCUUGCCAUGCUGUGCGAAUCUGAUGUUACUAGUUAAACUUGGUUCGUAGAAUUAAUUUCGAACGAGAUUUGCAGGGGAAAAACUGGCAUUUAUAGGAAGUAUUAUAACCACAUUAAACUAGAAUACGUUACAAUAAAGAAAACAUUCAAUAUUUCAAUUUAAUUCUAACAUUCAAUAUUUCAGUUUAAUUAGCAUUAAUUUUCAUUACUACAAAUCUAAAUAUUAAUUCAAAGACACACAUUUAUACUUCCCUUUAUAAUUCUUAAAUGGAAUUAAACGGAUCACUUAAAUAAGGUUCAAUAAAGAUGAUUAUGUCGUACAUGUGUUUCUGCGUUGAAACUAGGAUUGAACUAUCACGUCCACUCCAAACAAACACCUGGACGGUAAUAUGGAGAAAAAAACAUAUGGAAAAAGCAAUAUGGGAUAUAGUACACUUACAUGACAGACACACAUACUCGUUAUGCGUGCCAUCCUAUUUUUCUAUUUUUUUGAAGUUGUGUAUGCACAUGUUGUGUUGCUGGUUAAAAAUUCACGUGCAUUUCAAAAUGUAAUGAGCUAUACCAGAUUCCCCUAACAGUGAUAUGUAGGUGCCACAAUAUAGAAAUAAUUAUGCAAAGCGUAAAAUCUUAUAACCUUGUUGUUGUUAAAAAGUUUUUAUCACACUUAUCAUAUUUGUAAAAUGUAAAAUGGAAACUAAAUGAUUGACAUUCAAAAUUAAUUCAUCAACAAUAUUUCACGUUCUGAUAUUAAGUCAAUGUAUCUCUUUAUCGUGGGACUCCAAUUCGGUUAUUGGCUUCUUCGUUCUACUUUAAAUUUUUAGGUGUAAGCGUUCUGGCCCAAUUUUACUGAAAUAUGAAUUAAAGCUUUUAGUGGAAUAAGUAACAGAGCUUGGAAAAUGAAAAAUUAUAUUAGAGAGUGAAAUUGGAAACAUCAAAUGACGUUCCAUUUUUAUAACUCUCGUAGGUAUUUCCCAAAUAAUGAAUAGGAUUUAGUUUUUAUAUAAAUUGAUCCUUUUUUAGUAGGGAAAAUGUGGGGCGUACGUCGCCGACAUAUUUGGAGUUUCAUUCUCGAUCUUGAUAAAAACAAGUAAUUUAAAGGAAGAAGAAUAAGGAAAUCAAGUUAGGACUUUGAAUCGUUACAUCAUUUUCGACGUGGAUUUCGAGAUUGCCUCUCCUCUGCGGAAACGAAAGUGGUCAUAACUAUUAGAUUAGUAUCGAAGGAGAAAAAAUGGAAAAUGAAACAAAUGAGUCGAUAGGAAAGGAACUGUUACAAAUUAUAGUGCACGUCCUUUGGAGGAUAUUUCGUGGCACGAUAUGUGUCUUUUCAAAACUUUGAUAAGUCAAAGCAUUUUUCCAUCAAAGGCAAUGUGAAAUUAAAUUGUAUAAAGGCUUUCAAGGGAUCGAGGUUGUUUCAAUUUCACACCACGCUAGAACAUUCCAAUUCCACAUUAUUGACAUGAACUUAAUAUUUAUAAUAAUGAUAUUUGUGUCAAUUUAAACAAUGUGAAACAAUAUGUAGUGCUCGAUUUGAGAUGGUUAUCAUGUUUCGGUGCUAUAAAAUUAAAAAUAAUGGCAUGUAUAAAAUCAUUGUGUAUUAAGUAAUGGCUUCUAUAGAACCAUUUAAUUUCCGUACAACUAAAUAUAAUUUUACUAGGCUUUAAAUUUAAUGACACAUUUUAAUGAAGCUUUCGGAACAAUAUCAAAAAUACAGACAAGAGAACCAUUUUGGCCCUUUACAUCUGGUAACCGUUUUUUAGCUUUAGCAAUCCCAUAUCCUUAAGCAGACGGAGAUGGUGAAUCAAUCAAUGCAAGGCAAUUAUUCCAUGUCUGAAUGCUCUUAGCUAUAAUUGUCGCUGGGUUUAGGUCUUUGAAUACAGGAUUUUCAAGAGUCCUCUUUACUAAUGCUGAGUGGCAAACUUUUCCCAACACAACAAGUUCGCCGCAACACAUGUUAGAAAUACUCCCUGUAUUGAAAAUACUCGUGAAAGCUUCUAGAACACAAGGCAAACCCAUUUUAGUUUCACAAUUAUUUUCCUUAAUAAUCUGGUAGUUCUCCUUCGUAGCCAUUACUGCCCCACAAGUUAAAAAUAAAACCACUAGUACGGAAUAGACAUUAAGUCUUGCCAUGCUGUGCAAAUCUGACGUUACUAGUUAAACUUGGUUCGUAGAAUUAAUUUCGAACGAGAUUUGCAGGGGAAAAACUGGCAUUUAUAGGAAAUGCUAUAACCACAUUAAUCUAGAAUACGUUACAAUAAAGAAAACAUUCAAUAUUUCAAUUUAAUUCUAACAUUCAAUAUUUCAGUUUAAUUAGCAUUAAUUUUCAUUACUACAAAUCUAACACACAUUUAUACUUUCUUUUAUAAUUCUUAAAUGGCAUUAAACGGAUCACUGAAAUAAGGUUCAAUAAAGAUGAUUAUGUCGUACAUGUGUUUCUGCGUUGAAACUAGGAUUGAACUAUCACGCCCACUCCAAACAAACACCUGGACGGUAAUAUGGAGAAAAAACAUAUGGAAAAAGCAAUAUGGGAUAUAGUACACUUACAUGACAGGCACACAUACUCGUUAUGCGUGCCAUCCUAUUUUUCUAUUUUUUUGAAGUUGUGUAUGCACAUGUUAUGUUGAUGGUUAAAAAUUCACGUGCAUCUCAAAAUUGAAUGAGCUAUACCAGAUUCCCCUAACAUUCAUAUGUAGGUGCCACAAUGUAGAAAUAAUUAUGCAAAGCAUAAAAUCUUAUAACCUUGUUGUUGUUAAAAAGUUUUUAUCACACUUAUCAUAUUUGUAAAAUGUAAAAUGGAAACUAAAUGAUUGACAUUCAAAAUUAAUUCAUCAACAAUAUUUCACGUUCUGAUAUUAAGUCAAUGUAUCUCUUUAUCGUGGGACUCCAAUUCGGUUAUUGGCUUCUUCGUUCUACUUUAAAUUUUUAGGUGUAAGCGUCCUGGCCCAAUUUUACUGAAAUAUGAAUGAAAGCUUUUAGUGGAAUAAGUAACAGAGCUUGGAAAAUGAAAAAUUAUAUUAGAGAGUGAAAUAGGAAACAACAAAUGACGUUUCAUUUUUAUAACUCUCGUAGGUAUUUCCCAAAUAAUGAAUAGGAUUUAGUUUUUAUAUAAAUUGAUCCUUUUUUAGUAGGGAAAAUGUGGGGCGUACGUCGCCGACAUAUUUGGAGUUUCAUUCUUGAUCUUGAUAAAAACAAGUAAUUUAAAGGAAGAAGAAUAAGGAAAUCAAGUUAGGACUUUGAAUCGUUAGAUCAUUUUCGAUGUGGAUUUCAAGAUUUCCUCUCCUCUACAAAAACGAAAGUGGUCAUAACUAUUAGAUUAGUAUUGAAGGAGCGAAAAUGAAAAAUGAAACAAAUGAGUCCAUAGGCAAGGAACUUUUACAAAUUAUAGUGCACAUCCUUUGGAGGAUAUUUCGUGGCACGAUAUGUGUCUUUUCAAAACUUCGAGAAGUCAAGGCAUUUUUCCAUCAAAGGCAAUGUGAAUUUAAAUUGUAUAAAGACUUUCUAGGAAUCGAGGUUGUUUCAAUUUCACACCACGCUAGAACAUUCCAAGUCCACAUUAUUGACAUGAACUUAAUGUUUAUAAUAAUGAUAUUUGUGUCAAUUUAAACAAUGUGAAACAAUAUGUAGUGCUCGAUUUAAGAUGGUUAUCGAGUUCCACUGCUAUAAACUUAAAAAUAAUGGCAUGUAUAAAAUCAUUGUGUAUUAAGUAAUGGCUUCUAUAGAACCAUUUAAUUUCCGUACAACUAAAUAUAAUUUAAGUAGGCUUUAAAUUUAAUGACACAUUUUAAUGAAGCUUUCGGAACAAUAUCAAAACUAAAGACAAAAGAACAAUUUUGGCCCUUUACGUCUGGUAACCGUUUUUUCGCUUUAGCAAUCCUAUAUCCUUAAGCAGACGGAGAUGGUGAAUAGAUCAAUGCAAGGCAAUUAUUCCAUGUCUGAAUCCUCUUAACUAUAAUUGUCGCUGGGUUUAGGUCUUUGAAUACAGGAUUUUCAAGAGUCCUCUUUACUAAUGCUGAGUGGCAAACUUUUCCCAACACAACAAUUUCGCUGCAACACUUGUUAGAAAUACUCCCUGUAUUAAAAUACUCAUGAAAGCUUCUAGAACACAGGGCAAACCCAUUUUCGUUUCACAAUUAUUUCCCUUUAUAAUCUAGUCGUUCACCUACGUAGCCAUUACUACCCCACAAGUUAAAAAUAAAACCACUAGUACGGAAUAAACAUUAAGGCUUCCCAUGCUGUGUGAAUCUGAUGUUACUAGUUAAACUUGGUUCCUAAAAUUAAUUUCGAACGAGAUUUGCAGAGGAAAAAAAUGGCAUUUAUAGGAAGUGUUAUAACCACAUUAGACUAGAAUAUGUUACAAUAAAAUAAAACAUUGAAUAUUUCAAUUUAAUUAGAACAUUCAAUAUUUCAGUUUAAUAAGCAUUAAUUUUUAUUACUACAAAUCUAAAUAUUAAUUCAAAAACACACAUUUAUACUUCCCCUUAUAAUUCUUAAAUGGCAUUAAACGGAUCACUUAAAUAAGGUUCAAUAAAGAUGAUUAUGUCCUACAUGUGUUUUUGCCUUGAAACUAGGAUUGAACUAUUACGUCCACUCCAAGCAAACACCUGGACGGUAAUAUGGAGAAAAUAACAUAUGGAAAAAGCAAUAUGGGAUAUAGUACAUGUGCAUGACAGGCACACAUAUUCAUUAUGCAUGCCAUCCUAUUUUUCUAAUUUUUUGAAGUUGUGUAUGCACAUGUUAUGUUGAUCGUUAAAAAUUCACGUGCAUCUCAAAAUUGAAUAAGCUAUACCAGAUUGCCCUAACAGUGAUAUGUAUGUGCCACAAUGUAGAAAUAAUUAUGCAAAGCGUAAAAUCUUAUAACCUUGUUGUUGUUAAAAAGUUUUUAUCACACUUAUCAUAUUUGUAAAAUGUAAAAUGGCAACUAAAUGAUUGACAUUUAAAAUUAAUUCAUCAACAAUAUUUCACGUUCUGAUAUUAAGUCGAUGUAUGUCUUUAUCGUGGGACUCCAAUUCGGUUAUUGUCUUCUUCGUUCUACGUUAAAUUUUUAGGUGUAAGCGUUCUGGCCCAAUUUUAGUGAAAUAUGAAUGAAAGCUUUUAGUGGAAUAAGUAACAGAGCUUGGAAAAUGAAAAAUUCUAUUAGAGAGUGAAAUUGGAAACAACAAAUGACGUUUCAUUUUUAUAACUCUCGUAGGCAUUUCCCGAAUAAUAAAUAGGAUUUAGUUUUUAUAUAAAUUGAUCCUUUUUUAAUAGGGAAAAUGUGGGGCAUACGUCGCCGACAUAUUUGUAGUUUCAUUCUCGAUAUUGAUAAUUUAAAGGAAGAAGAAUAAGGAAAUCAAGUUAAGACUUUGAAUCGUUACAUCAUUUUUGACGUGGAUUUCGAGAUUGCCUCUCCUCUACAGUAACGAAAGUGGUCAUAACUGUUAGAUUAGUAUCGAAGGAGCGAAAAUGGAAAAUGAAUCAAAUGAGUCCAUAGGCAAGGAACUAUUACAAAUUACAGUGCACGUACUUUGGAGGAUAUUUCGUGGCACGAUAUGUGUCUUUCAAAACUUCGAGAAGUCAAGGCAUUUUUCCAUCAAAGGCAAUGUGAAUUUAACUUGUAUAAAGGCUUUCAAGGAAUCGAGGUUGUUUCAAUUUCACACCAUGUUAGAACAUUCCAAUUCCACAUUAUUGACAUGAACUUAAUGUUUAUAAUAAUGAUAUUGGUGUCAGUUUAAACAAUAUGAAACAAUAUGUAGUGCUCGAUUUGAGAUGAUUAUCGUGUUCCGCUGCUAUAAAAUUAAAAAUAAUGGCAUGUAUAGAAUCAUUGUGUAUUACGCAAUGGCUUCUGUAGAACCAUUUAAUUUCUGUACAACUAAAUAUAAUAUAUCUAGGCUUUAAAUUUAAUGACACAUUUUAAUGAAGCUUUUGAAACAAUAUCAAAAAUAAAGACAAAAGAACAAUUUUGGCCCUUUACGUUUGGUAACCGUUUUGUAGCUUUAGCAAUCCUAUAUCCUUAAGCAGACGGAGAUGGUGACUCGAUAAAUGCAAGGAAAUUAUUCCAUGUCUGAAUGCUCUUAGCUAUAAUUGUCGCUGGGUUUAGGUCUUUGAAUACAGGAUUUUCAAGAGUCCUCUUUACUAAUGCUGAGUGGCAAACUUUUCCCAACACAACAAGUUCGCCGCAACACUUGUUAGAAAUACUCCCUAUAUUGAAAAUACUCAUGAAAGCUUCUAGAACACAGGGCAAACCCAUUUGCUUCUCCUUAAUAAUCUGGUCGUUCUCCUUCGUAGCCAUUACUACCCCACAAGUUAAAAAUAAAACCACUAGUACGGAAUAAACAUUAAGGCUUUCCAUGUUGUGCGAAUCUGAUGUUACUAGUUAAACUUGGUUCCUAAAAUUAAUUUCGAACGAGAUUUACAGGGGAAAAAACUGGCAUUUAUAGGAAGUGUUAUAACCACAUUAGACUAGAAUACAUUACAAUAAAAGAAAACAUUCAAUAUUUCAAUUUAAUUCUAACAUUCAAUAUUUUAGUUUAAUUAGCAUUAAUUUUUAUUACUACAAAUCUAAAUAUUAAUUCAAAGACACACAUUUACACUUUCCUUUAUAAUUCUUAAAUGGCCUUAAACGGAUCACUUAAAUAAGAUUCAAUAAAGAUUAUUAUGUCGUACAUGUGUUUUUCUGCGUUGAAACUAGGAUUGAACUAUUACGUCUGUUAGAAUUAAGUGACCCAAAUUCUUAUUUAAAUAAAAUACGAUGGAAAAUAAAAUAAAAGUAAAAUCCAUAUAGAACUAGACUUCUUUUAUUUUAUUUUAGAAUAAGGUUUUUUAAACCUUAUUAAACUUCAUCUAUUUUAUAUUGAUUAGGAUAAGGUGUUUCAAUCCUACUAGAAUAUGGCUUUACAAGCCUAUAAAUAGACAUAGUCUAUUCCUCUUGUAUUGAUUCAAAUUUUUCGACAUAGUGAAUUUUCUUCUCCUUUGCCCGUGGUUUUUUCCCGAAAGGGUUUCCACGUAAAAUUUGUGUGUUCUUUAUUUUUUUUCUCAAAUUGGUAUCCGAGCUUCCGGGUUAUUCAUCUCGAUCACGGUAAUGGCGUCUUUGAAGUAUGAAAUUCUGCUGUUGGAUCGCAACACCAAAUUUGCAUUGUGGCAAAUUAAGAUGCAAGUAGUUCUUGCACAAAUGGAUCUGGAGGAUGCCCUGCUAGGGAUAGAUAAGAUGCCUUUGACAUUAACAGAUGAAGAGAAGAAGCGUAAGGAUCGAAAGGAUCGAAAGGUGUUAACACAAUUACUUCUGCUUUUGUCCAACGAAAUUUUGCAGGAUGUGAUGAAAGAGAAGACUGCCGCUGCAUUAUGGAAGAGGCUAGAACAAAUAUGUAUGUCGAAAACUCUAACAAGCAAGUUGCAUAUGAAGCAGUGUCUUUAUCUCAUCGUUUGGAGGAAGGUGCGUCUGUACACAAACACUUAACAGUGUUUAAAGAAAUUCUCUCAAACUUGGAGGCCAUGGAGGUUCAGUAUGAUAAGGAAGAUCUAGGGUUGAUUCUACUUUGUUCGUUGCCCCCGUCUUAUUCAACCUUUAGAGACACGAUUUUAUAUAGCUGCGAGUCUCUCACAGUUGAUGAGGUUUAUGAUUCUUUAACCUCGUAUGAUAAAAUGAAGCAUCUUGUGGUUAAACCCAACUCUCAGGGAGAAGGUCUCAUUGUUCGUUGGAGACAAGAUCGGAAUGCUGAUGAUAAUCGUGGUAGGCCACAGGAACGGAAUCCUCAUGGUAAAUCUAAAGGUAGAUCGAAGUCUUCAAAUAGAGGUAAAACUUGUAACUUCUGCAAGAAGAAAGGGCACAUUAAAUCUGAGUGCUAUAAGCUACAAAAUAAGAUUAAAAGGGAGGCUGCGAAUCAAAAGGGAAAACAACUAGAAAAUUUCGGUGAAGAUGAUGUUGUAGAAGAUUACAGCGAUGGUGAACUUCUAGUUGCUUCUAUCAAUGAUUCUAAAGUAAGCGAGGAAUGGAUACUUGAUUCAGGCUGCACCUUCCACAUGAGUCCCAAUCGGGAUUGGUUUACAACUUAUGAAACAGUGUCUGAAGGUGUUGUUUUGAUGGGAAAUAAUGUUUCGUGUAAAAUCGCAGGUGUUGGAACAGUUAAAGUUAAGAUGUUUGAUGGAGUUGUCAAAACACUUAGUGUGGUACGACAUGUUCCAGAAUUGAAGGGUACAGAUAUACAGCUGAAAGUGGGAUUUUAAAGAUUUCCAAAGGUUCCCUUGUUGUGAUGAAAGGGCAAAGAAAAACUUCCAAGUUAUAUGUUUUGCAGGGUUCUAGUGUUACUGGUGAUGCAGCUGUCGCUUCCUCUUCCUUGUCAAAUGAUGAUAUUACUAAACUUUGGCAUAUGUGCCUAGGGCAUAUGAGUGAGAAUGGCAUGGUAGAAUUGAGUAAAAGAGGACUUUUUGAUGGGCAAGGAAUUUGCAAACUAAAUUUCUGUAAGCAUUGUGUUUUUGGGAAGCAAAAGAGAGUUCGAUUCACUAGAGGAAUCCAUAACACGAAGGGAAUAUUGGAGUAUAUUCAUUCUGAUCUGUGGGGGCCAUCCAGAGUGCCUUCGAGAGGUGGAGCUAAUUAUAUGCUAACCUUUAUUGAUGAUUUUUCCAGAAAAGUUUGGACGUUCUUCCUGAAGAAGAAAAGCGAUGUGUUUUUCGCAUUUAAGUUUUGGAAAAUUAUGAUUGAAAAAACAGACAGGAAAAUAGAUAAAAUACCUCUGCAUAGAAAAUGGCUUAGAGUUCUGUUCUGAUGAGUUUAAUAGAUUGUGCAAGUCAGAAGGGAUCAUGAGACACUUGACAAUUUAUCAUACUCCACAACAAAACGGCGUUGUAGAACGAAUGAACAGAACGAUCAUGGAGAAGGUUCGAUGUAUGUUGUCAAAUGCCAACUUAUCGAACUCAUUUUGGGCAGAAGCAGCCUCUACUGCAUGUUUUUUAAUCAACCGAUCUCCAUCUGUUGCCAUUGAGAAAAAGACUCCACAAGAGGUAUGGUCUGGUAAUCCUACUAAUUAUUCUAAUUUAAAGAUUUUUGGGUGUCCUGCGUAUGCUCAUGUUGAUAAUGGAAAAUUGGAACCGAGAUCCAUUAAAUGCUUUUUUCUUGGUUAUAAAGCUGGUGUAAAAGGGUAUAAGUUAUAGCGUCCUGAAAAUAGAAAAGUUGUGAUUAGCAAAGAUGUUGUUUUUGAUUGAACUGCUAUGCUACCUAACUUAUCUCUUAAAGACUCUUCCAAUAAAGAAAAUCAAGAAUAGGUGGAGCAUCAGAUUAAUACAGAGUCAACUCCUCAAGCUAGAACAAAAGUUGAGAAUAGAGUUGCUUCUUCACCACAAUACUCUAUCGCCAAAAAUAGAACUAGAAGAGAAAUUAAACCUUCAAAGAAGUAUGCCGAGGCUGAUCUAGUUUCUUAUGCUAUAAAUGUGGCUGAAGAUAUAGAUGCGAAUCAAGAGCCAUCUAAUUAUUCUGAGGCGGUUAGCUGUAAAGACUCAGAAAAGUGGAUGUUUGCUAUGCAAGAAGAGAUGGAAUCACUCUACAAAAACAGAACAUGGGAUCUUGCGAAACUUCCUAAAGGUAAAAAGGUUGUUCGUUGUAAAUGGGUGUUUAAAAAGAAAGAAGGGACUCCAGGAGUUGAAGAACCCAGAUAUAAAGCAAGGCUUGUUGCAAAGGGUUACAGUCAAAUUCCAGGAGUGGACUUCACAGAUGUGUUCUCUCCAGUUGUUAAGCAUAGUUCGAUUCGAGCUUUGCUUGGUAUUGUGGCCAUGCAUGAUUUUGGAGCUUGGGCAGUUAGAUGUAAAAACUGCAUUUCUGCAUGGAGAACUUGAGGAGGAUAUUUACAUGCAACAACCAGAGGGUUUUAUAGUCUCAGAAAAAGAAGACUAUGUUUGCUUGCUGAAAAAGUCCCUUUACGGUUUGAAACAGUCACCAAGACAGUGGUACAAGAGGUUUGAUUCCUUUAUGACUUCUCAUGAUUUCAAAAGAAGUAGUUUUGACAGUUGUGUUUACUUUAAGAAAAAUAGUGAUGGUUCUUUUGUGUAUCUACUUCUUUAUGUUGAUGACAUGUUGAUAGCAGCAAAAGAUAAAUGAGAGAUAAGAAAUGUUAAAACCCAACUAAGUAAAGAAUUUGAGAUGAAAGAUUUAGGACCAACAAAGAAGAUACUUGGAAUGGAGAUUCUCAGAGAUAGAAAAACAAGUAAAUUGUACCUAAGUCAGAAGGGGUACAUUGAGAAAGUUCUUUGCAGGUUAAAUAUGCAGAGUGCUAAGCCUGUUAGUACUCCUUUAGCAGCCCAUUUCAAACUUUCAUCAGCUUUGUCUCCACAAUCAGUUGAUGAGAUUGAGUACAUGUCACAUGUUCCAUACUCUAGUGCAGUGGGAUCUAUCAUGUAUGCUAUGGUUUGUUCAUGUCUAGAUUUAUCAUAUGCAGUCAGUGCAGUUAGCAGAUACAUGGCGAAUCCCGGUAAAGAACACUGGAAAGCAGUUCAGUGGAUUCUAAGAUACUUACGAGGUACUACUGAUGUUUGCUUACAGUUUGGAAGAACUAAAGAUGGAGUCAUAGGGUAUGUUGAUGCUGAUUUUGCUAGAGACCUUGAUAAAAGAAGAUCUCUCACAGGUUAUGUCUUUACAAUCAGAGGUUGUGCAAUCAGUUGGAAAGCCACUUUGCAGUCUACAGUUGCUUUGUCUACCACUGAAGCUGAGUACAUGGCGAUUACUGAGGCUUGUAUAGAAGCUAUUUAAUUGAAGGGACUCUUUAGUGAACUCAAUGAAGACCUUCAAAUCAGCACAGUAUUUUGUGACAGUCAGAGUGCCAUCUUUCUUACAAAAGAUCAAAUGUUUCAUGAGAGAACAAAACACAUUGAUGUUCGGUAUCAUUUUGUUCGUGAUGUUAUUGCUCAAGGUGAUAUUGUUGUGAGCAAAAUUAGUACUCAUGAAAAUCCUGCAGAUAUGAUGACUAAGUCACUUCCUAUAACCAAGUUUGAGCAUUGCUCAAACUUGGUUGGUGUACAUUGUUGAAGUUAAACCCUUAAGGGGUUUUAUGGAAGAGGUGGAGAACUUGUUUAUAGAAAGUUCGCGAUGAAGAACUUGUUCAUUGAGAAUUUGUUUCAAGGUGGAGAUUGUUAGAAUUAAGUGACCCAAAUUCUUAUUUAAAUAAAAUACUAUGGAAAAUAAAAAAAAGUAAAAUCCAUAUAGAACUAGACUUCUUUUAUUUUAUUUUAGAAUAAGGUUUUUUAAACCUUAUUAAACUUCAUCUAUUUUAUAUUGAUUAGGAUAAGGUGUUUCAAUCCUACUAGAAUAUGGCUUUACAAGCCUAUAAAUAGACAUAGUCUAUUCCUCUUGUAUUGAUUCAAAAUUUUCGACAUAGUGAAUUUUCUUCUCCUCUACCCGUGGUUUUUUCCCGAAAGGGUUUCCACGUAAAAUUUGUGUGUUCUUUCUUUUAUAUUUUAUAUUUUUAUUUUUCUUUUUAUUUUAUUUUAGUUUUCUCAACGUCCACUCCAAACAAACACCUAGACGGUAACAUGGAGAAAAAACAUAUGGAAAAAGCAAUAUGGGAGAUAGUACACAUGCAUGACAGGCACACAUAUUCGUUAUGCUUGCCAUCCUAUUUUUCUAAUUUUUUGAAGUUGUGAAUGCACAUGUUAUGUUGAUGGUUAAAAAUUCACGUGCAUCUCAAAAUUGAAUGAGCUAUACCAGAUUCCCCUAACAGUGAUAUGUAUGUGCCAGAAUGUAGAAAUAAUUAUGCAAAGCGUAAAAUCUUAUAACCUUGUUGUUGUUAAAAAAAUUUAUCACACUUAUCAUAUUUCUAAAAUGGAAAAUGGAAACUAAAUGAUUGACAUUCAAAAUUAAUUCAUCAACAAUAUUUCAUGUUAUGAUAUUAAGUCGAAUUAUGUCUUUAUCGUGGGACUCCAAUUCGGUUAUUGUCUUCUUCGUUCCACGUUAAAUUUUUAGGUGUAAGUGUUCCGGCCCAAUUUUACUGAAAUAUGAAUGAAAGCUUUUAGCGGAAUAAGUAACAGAGCUUGGAAAAUGAAAAAUUCUAUUAGAGAGUGAAAUUGGAAACAACAAAUGACGUUUCAUUUUUAUAACUCUCGUAGGUAUUUCCCAAAUAAUGAAAAGGAUUUAGUUUUUAUAUAAAUUGAUCCUUUUUUAGUAGGGAAAAUGUGGGGCGUACGUCGUUGACAUUUUUGGAGUUUAAUUCUCGAUCUUGAUAAAAACAAGUAAUUUAAAGGAAGAAGAAUAAGGAAAUCAAGUUAAGACUUUGAAUCGUUACAACAUUUUCGACAUGGAUUUCGAGAUUGCCUCUCCUCCACGGAAACAAAAGUGGUCAUAACUAUUAGAUUAGUAUCGAAGGAGUGAAAAUGGAAAAUCAAACAAAUGAGUCCAUAGGCAAGGAACUAUUACAAAUUAUAGUGCACGUACUUUGGAGGAUAUUUCAUGGUACGAUAUGUGUCUUUUCAAAACUUCGAGAAGUCAAGGCAUUUUUCCAUCAAAGGCAAUGUGAAUUUAAAUUGUAUAAAGACUUUCAAGGAAUCGAGGUUGUUUCAAUUUCACACCACGCUAGAACAUUCCACGUCCACAUUUUUGACAUGAACUUAAUGUUUAUAAUAAUGAUAUUUGUGUCAAUUUAAACAAUGUGAAACAAUAUAUAGUGCUCGAUUUGAUAUGGUUAUCGAGUUCCACUGCUAGAAAAUUAAAAAUACUGGCAUGUAUAAAAUCAUUGUGUAUUAAGUAAUGGCUUCUAUAGAACCAUUUAAUUUUCGUACAACUGAAUAUAAUUUUACUAGGCUUCAAAUUUAAUGAAACAUUUUAAUGAAGCUUUCGGAACAAUAUCAAAAAUAAAGACAAGAGAACAAUUUUGGCCCUUUACCUCUGGUAAUUGUUUUUUAGCUUUAGCAAUCCUAUAUCCUUAAGCAGACGGAGAUGGUUAAUCAAUCAAUGCAAGGCAAUUAUUCCAUCUCUGAAUGCUCUUAGCUAUAAUUGUCGCUGGGUCUAGGUCUUUGAAUAUAGGAUUUUCAAGAGUCCUCUUUACUAAUGCUGAGUGGCAAACUUUUCCCAACACAACAAGUUCGCCGCAACACUUGUUAGAAAUACUCCCUGUAUUGAAAAUACUCGUGAAAGCUUCUAGAACACAAGGCAAACCCAUUUUAGUUUCACAAUUAUUUUCCUUAAUAAUCUGGUAGUUCUCCUUCGUAGCCAUUACUGCCCCACAAGUUAAAAAUAAAACCACUAGUACGGAAUAGACAUUAAGGCUUGCCAUGUUGUGUGAAUCUGAUGUUACUAGUUAAACUUGGUUCGUAGAAUUAAUUUCGAACGAGAUUUGCAGGGGAAAAACUGGCAUUUAUAGGAAGUGUUAUAACCACAUUAAACUAGAAUACGUUACAAUAAAGAAAACAUUCAAUAUUUCAAUUUAAUUCUAACAUUCAAUAUUUCAGUUUAAUUAGCAUUAAUUUUCAUUACUACAAAUCUAAAUAUUAAUUCAAAGACACACAUUUAUACUUCCCUUUAUAAUUCUUAAAUGGCAUUAAACGGAUCACUUAAAUAAGGUUCAAUAAAGAUGAUUAUGUCGUACAUGUGUUUCUGCGUUGAAACUAGGAUUGAACUAUCACGUCCACUCCAAACAAACACCUGGACGGUAAUAUGGAGAAAAAAAACUUAUGGAAAAAGCAAUAUGGGACAUAGUACACUUACAUGACAGGCAUACAUACUCGUUAUGCGUGCCAUCCUAUUUUUCUAUUUUUUUGAAGUUGUGUAUGCCCAUAUUAUGUUGAUGAUUAAAAAUUCACGUGCAUCUCAAAAUUGAAUGAGCUAUACCAGAUUCCCCUAACAGUGAUAUGUAGGUGCCACAAUGUAGAAAUAAUUAUGUAAAGCAUAAAAUCUUAUAACUUUGUUGUUGUUAAAAAGUUUUCAUCACACUUAUAAUAUUUGUAAAAUGUAAAAUGGAAACUAAAUGAUUGACAUUCAAAAUUAAUUCAUCAACAAUAUUUCACGUUCUGAUAUUAAGUCAAUGUAUGUCUUUCUCGUGGGACUCCAAUUCAGUUAUUGGAUUCUUCGUUCUACGUUAAAUUUUUAGGUGUAAGCGUUCUGGCCCAAUUUUACUGAAAUAUGAAUUAAAGCUUUUAGUGGAAUAAGUAACAGAGCUUGGAAAAUGAAAAAUUAUAUUAGAGAGUGAAAUUGGAAACAACAAAUGAUGUUUCAUUUUUAUAACUCUCGUAGGUGUUUCCCAAAUAAUGAAUAGGAUUUAGUUUUUAUAUAAAUUGAUCCUUUUUUAGUAGGAAAAAUGUAGGGCGUACGUUGCCGACAUAUUUGGAGUUUCAUUCUCGAUCUUGAUAAAAACAAGUAAUUUAAAGGAAGAUGAAUAAGGAAAUCAAGUUAGGACUUUGAAUCGUUACAUCAUUUUCGACUUGGAUUUCGAGAUUGCCUGUCCUCUGCGGAAACGAAAGUGGUCAUAACUAUUAGAUUAGUAUCGAAGGAGAAAAAUGGAAAAUAAAACAAAUGAGUCGAUAGGAAAGGAACUGUUGCAAAUUAUAGUGCACGACCUUUCGAGGAUAUUUCGUGGCAGGAUAUGUGUCUUUUCAAAACUUCGAUAAGUCAAGGCAUUUUUCCAUCAAAGGCAAUGUGAAUUUAAAUUCUAUAAAGGCUUUCAAGGAAUCCAGGUUGUUUCAAUUUCACACCACGCUAGAACAUUCCAAUUCGUCAUUAUUCACAUGAACUUAAUGUUUAUAAUAAUGGUAUUUGUGUCAAUUUAAACAAUGUGAAACAAUAUGUAGUGCUCGAUUUAAGAUGGUUAUCAUGUUUCGGUGCUAUAAAAUUAAAAAUAAUGGCAUGUAUAAAAUCAUUGUGUAUUAGGUAAUGGCUUCUAUAGAACCAUUUAAUUUCCGUACAACUAAAUAUAAUUUGAGUAGGCUUUAAAUUUAAUGACAAAUUUUAAUGAAGCUUUCGGAACAAUAUCAAAAAUACAGACAAUAGAACAAUUUUGGCCGUUUACAUCUGGUAACCAUUUUUUAGCUUUAGCAAUCCCAUAUCCUUAAGUAGACGGAGAUGGUGAAUCAAUCAAUGCAAGGAAAUUAUUCCAUGUCUGAAUGCUCUUAGCUAUAAUUGUCGCUGGGUUUAGGUCUUUGAAUACAGGAUUUUCAAGAGUCCUCUUUACUAAUGAUGAGUGGCAAACUUUUCCCAACACAACAAGUUCACCGCAACACUUAUUAGAAAUACUCCCUGUAUUGAAAAUACUCGUGAAAGCUUCUAGAACACAAGGCAAACCCAUUUUAGUUUUACAAUUAUUUUCCAUAAUAAUCUGGUAGUUCUCCUUCGUAGCCAUUACUACCCCACAAGUUAAAAAUAAAACCACUAGUACGGAAUAGACAUUAAGGCUUGCCAUGCUGUGCGAAUCUGAUGUUACUAGUUAAACUUGGUUCGUAGAAUUAAUUUCGAACAAGAUUUGCAGGGGAAAAACUGGCAUUUAUAGGAAGUAUUAUAACCACAUUAAACUAGAAUACGUUACAAUAAAGAAAACAUUCAAUAUUUCAAUUUAAUUCUAACAUUCAAUAUUUCAGUUUAAUUAGCAUUAAUUUUCAUUACUACAAAUCUAAAUAUUAAUUCAAAGACACACAUUUAUACUUCCCUUUAUAAUUCUUAAAUGGAAUUAAACGGAUCACUUAAAUAAGGUUCAAUAAAGAUGAUUAUGUCGUACAUGUGUUUCUGCGUUGAAACUAGGAUUGAACUAUCACGUCCACUCCAAACAAACACCUGGACGGUAAUAUGGAGAAAAAAACAUAUGGCAAAAGCAAUAUGGGAUAUAGUACACUUACAUGACAGACACACAUACUCGUUAUGCGUGCCAUCCUAUUUUUCUAUUUUUUUGAAGUUGUGUAUGCACAUGUUGUGUUGCUGGUUAAAAAUUCACGUGCAUUUCAAAAUGUAAUGAGCUAUACCAGAUUCCCCUAACAGUGAUAUGUAGGUGCCACAAUAUAGAAAUAAUUAUGCAAAGCGUAAAAUCUUAUAACCUUGUUGUUGUUAAAAAGUUUUUAUCACACUUAUCAUAUUUGUAAAAUGUAAAAUGGAAACUAAAUGAUUGACAUUCAAAAUUAAUUCAUCAACAAUAUUUCACGUUCUGAUAUUAAGUCAAUGUAUCUCUUUAUCGUGGGACUCCAAUUCGGUUAUUGGCUUCUUCGUUCUACUUUAAAUUUUUAGGUGUAAGCGUUCUGGCCCAAUUUUACUGAAAUAUGAAUUAAAGCUUUUAGUGGAAUAAGUAAUAGAGCUUGGAAAAUGAAAAAUUAUAUUAGAGAGUGAAAUUGGAAACAUCAAAUGACGUUCCAUUUUUAUAACUCUCGUAGGUAUUUCCCAAAUAAUGAAUAGGAUUUAGUUUUUAUAUAAAUUGAUCCUUUUUUAGUAGGGAAAAUGUGGGGCGUACGUCGCCGACAUAUUUGGAGUUUCAUUCUCGAUCUUGAUAAAAACAAGUAAUUUAAAGGAAGAAGAAUAAGGAAAUCAAGUUAGGACUUUGAAUCGUUACAUCAUUUUCGACGUGGAUUUCGAGAUUGCCUCUCCUCUGCGGAAACGAAAGUGGUCAUAACUAUUAGAUUAGUAUCGAAGGAGAAAAAAUGGAAAAUGAAACAAAUGAGUCGAUAGGAAAGGAACUGUUACAAAUUAUAGUGCACGUCCUUUGGAGGAUAUUUCGUGGCACGAUAUGUGUCUUUUCAAAACUUUGAUAAGUCAAAGCAUUUUUCCAUCAAAGGCAAUGUGAAAUUAAAUUGUAUAAAGGCUUUCAAGGGAUCGAGGUUGUUUCAAUUUCACACCACGCUAGAACAUUCCAAUUCCACAUUAUUGACAUGAACUUAAUGUUUAUAAUAAUGAUAUUUGUGUCAAUUUAAACAAUGUGAAACAAUAUGUAGUGCUCGAUUUGAGAUGGUUAUCAUGUUUCGGUGCUAUAAAAUUAAAAAUAAUGGCAUGUAUAAAAUCAUUGUGUAUUAAGUAAUGGCUUCUAUAGAACCAUUUAAUUUCCGUACAACUAAAUAUAAUUUUACUAGGCUUUAAAUUUAAUGACACAUUUUAAUGAAGCUUUCGGAACAAUAUCAAAAAUACAGACAAGAGAACCAUUUUGGCCCUUUACAUCUGGUAACCGUUUUUUAGCUUUAGCAAUCCCAUAUCCUUAAGCAGACGGAGAUGGUGAAUCAAUCAAUGCAAGGCAAUUAUUCCAUGUCUGAAUGCUCUUAGCUAUAAUUGUCGCUGGGUUUAGGUCUUUGAAUACAGGAUUUUCAAGAGUCCUCUUUACUAAUGCUGAGUGGCAAACUUUUCCCAACACAACAAGUUCGCCGCAACACAUGUUAGAAAUACUCCCUGUAUUAAAAUACUCGUGAAAGCUUCUAGAACACAAGGCAAACCCAUUUUAGUUUCUCAAUUAUUUUCCUUAAUAAUCUGGUAGUUCUCCUUCGUAGCCAUUACUGCCCCACAAGUUAAAAAUAAAACCACUAGUACGGAAUAGACAUUAAGGCUUGCCAUGCUGUGCAAAUCUGACGUUACUAGUUAAACUUGGUUCGUAGAAUUAAUUUCGAACGAGAUUUGCAGGGGAAAAACUGGCAUUUAUAGGAAAUGUUAUAACCACAUUAAACUAGAAUACGUUACAAUAAAGAAAACAUUCAAUAUUUCAAUUUAAUUCUAACAUUCAAUAUUUCAGUUUAAUUAGCAUUAAUUUUCGUUACUACAAAUCUAAAUAUUAAUUCAAAGACACACAUUUAUACUUUCUUUUAUAAUUCUUAAAUGGCAUUAAACGGAUCACUGAAAUAAGGUUCAAUAAAGAUGAUUAUGUCGUACAUGUGUUUCUGCGUUGAAACUAGGAUUGAACUAUCACGCCCACUCCAAACAAACACCUGGACGGUAAUAUGGAGAAAAAACAUAUGGAAAAAGUAAUAUGGGAUAUAGUACACUUACAUGACAGGCACACAUACUCGUUAUGCGUGCCAUCCUAUUUUUCUAUUUUUUUGAAAUUGUGUAUGCACAUGUUAUGUUGAUGGUUAAAAAUUCACGUGCAUCUCAAAAUUGAAUGAGCUAUACCAGAUUCCCCUAACAUUCAUAUGUAGGUGCCACAAUGUAGAAAUAAUUAUGCAAAGCAUAAAAUCUUAUAACCUUGUUGUUGUUAAAAAGUUUUUAUCACACUUAUCAUAUUUGUAAAAUGUAAAAUGGAAACUAAAUUAUUGACAUUCAAAAUUAAUUCAUCAACAAUAUUUCACGUUCUGAUAUUAAGUCAAUGUAUCUCUUUAUCGUGGGACUCCAAUUCGGUUAUUGGCUUCUUCGUUCUACUUUAAAUUUUUAGGUGUAAGCGUUCUGGCCCAAUUUUACUGAAAUAUGAAUUAAAGCUUUUAGUGGAAUAAGUAACAGAGCUUGGAAAAUGAAAAAUUAUAUUAGAGAGUGAAAUUGGAAACAACAAAUGACGUUUUAUUUUUAUAACUCUCGUAGGUAUUUCCCAAAUAAUGAAUAGGAUUUAGUUUUUAUAUAAAUUGAUCCUUUUUUAGUAGGGAAAAUGUGGGGCGUACGUCGCCGACAUAUUUGGAGUUUCAUUCUUGAUCUUGAUAAAAACAAGUAAUUUAAAGGAAGAAGAAUAAGGAAAUCAAGUUAGGACUUUGAAUCGUUAGAUCAUUUUCGAUGUGGAUUUCAAGAUUUCCUCUCCUCUACGAAAACGAAAGUGGUCAUAACUAUUAGAUUUGUAUUGAAGGAGCGAAAAUGGAAAAUGAAACAAAUGAGUCCAUAGGCAAGGAACUUUUACAAAUUAUAGUGCACAUCCUUUGGAGGAUAUUUCGUGGCACGAUAUGUGUCUUUUCAAAACUUCGAGAAGUCAAGGCAUUUUUCCAUCAAAGGCAAUGUGAAUUUAAAUUGUAUAAAGACUUUCUAGGAAUCGAGGUUGUUUCAAUUUCACACCACGCUAGAACAUUCCAAUUCCACAUUAUUGACAUGAACUUAGUGUUUAUAAUAAUGAUAUUUGUGUCAAUUUAAACAAUGUGAAACAAUAUCUAGUGCUCAAUUCAGAUGGUUAUCGAGUUCCGGUGCUAUAAAAUUAAAAAUAAUGGUAUGUAUAAAAUCAUUGUGUAUUAAGUAAUGGCUUCUAUAGAACCAUUUAAUUUUCGUACAACUAAAUAUAAUUUAACUAGGCUUUAAAUUUAAUGACACAUUUUAAUGAAGCUUUCGGAACAAUAUCAAAAAUAAAGACAAAAGAACAAUUUUGGCCCCUUACGUUUGGUAACCGUUUUUUAGCUUUAGCAAUCCUAUAUCCUUAAGCAGACGGAGAUGGUGAAUCGAUCAAUGCAAGGCAAUUAUUCCAUGUCUGAAUGCUCCUACCUAUAAUUGUCACUGGGUUUAGGUCUUUGAAUAGAGGAUUUUCAAGAGUCCUCUUUACCAAUGUUGAGUGGCAAACUUUUCCCAACACAACAAAUUCGCCGCAACACUUGUUAGAAAUACUCCCUGUAUUGAAAAUACUUGGGAAAGCUUCUAGAACACAGGGCAAACCCAUUUUAUUUUCACAAUUAUUUUCCUUAAUAAUCUGGUCAUUCUCCUUUGUGGCCAUUACUGCCCCACAAGUUAAAAAUAAAACCACUAUUACGGAAUAAACAUUAAGACUUGCCAUGCUGUGUGAAUGUAAUGUUACUAGUUAAACUUGGUUCGUAAAAUUAGUUUCAAACGAGAUUUGCAGGGUAAAAUACUGGCAUUUAUAAGAAGUGUUAUAACCACAUUAGACUAGUAUACGUUACAAUAAAAGAAAACAUUCAAUAUUUCAAUUUAAUUAGAACAUUCAAUAUUCCAGUUUAAUUAGCAUUAAUUUUUAUUACUACAAAUCUAAAUAUUAAUUCAAAGACACAUUUAUACUUCCCUUUAUAAUUCUUAAAUGGCAUUAAACGGAUCACUUAAAUGAGGUUCAAUAAAGAUGAUUAUGUCGUACACGUGUUUUUGCGUUGAAACUAGGAUUGAACUAUUACAUCCACUCCAAACAAACACCUGGAUGGUAAUAUGGAGAAAAUAACAUAUGGAAAAAGCAAUAUGGGAUAUAGUACACUUACAUGACAGGCACACAUAUUCGUUAUGCGUGCCAUCCUAUUUUUUUAAUUUUUUAAAGUUGUGUAUGCACAUGUUAUGUUGAUGGUUAAAAAUUCACGUGCAUCUCAAAAUUGAAUGAGCUAUACCAGAUUCCCCUAACAGUGAUAUGUUUGUGCCACAAUGUAGAAAUAAUUAUGCAAAGCGUAAAAUCUUAUAACCUUGUUGUUGUUAAAAAGUUUUUUUCACACUUAUCAUAUUUGUAAAAUGGAAAAUGGCAACUCAAUGAUUGACAUUCAAAAUUAAUUCAUCAACAAUAUUUCACGUUAUGUGUAACACCCCUUACCCGUAUCCGUCGUCAGAACAGGGUACGAGGUAUUAACAAAUCAUAGUACAUACUAUUAAAUAAAACCGAGACAAAAAUAUGGCGUGCAAUUAGAUCAUGAAUCAUUAUAACAUAUGCUUUUAACAAUACUAGCCAAUUUCAAAGGCUUCGUACAAAAUAAUCGGUCAAAUACUAUAAUUAAUAUUUUAAACCUAGGCAAUUAUGACAUGUAACAAAAUAACUAAGUCUACUAUACAUGUCAUAAAUCAAAAUGUUCAGUUCAAAUACCCAAAAAUAUUGAUAGUGUAGGCAGAUCUUCAACGAUCCUUGACUCCUAUACAAGUUGACACUAUAAGACAAAAGAGAGAAAAGAAAGUAAGCUUAUAGCUUAGUAAGCAAGUAUAUAAAUAAUGAAUAAAGAAUUUAAUAUGUUUACACAAUAACUCAAGUGUAUCUACUUUUAAUUUCACAAUUUACUCCACUUUGGUCAAGCUGUCUCUCUUGCAUCAUAUUCACUAAAUAAAUCAUAACUCGAGUUACAAAACUUGAAAUUGAAAUCCGUAAAAUUUCCAUGAAACUAGACUCAUAUUAAUUCUUACUAAAAUAUUUCUAGAAUUUUUGGUCCAGCCAAUUAGUACAGUUUAUUAGUUAAAAUUUCCCCUGUUAUACAGCUUGACUGAUCUGACCUCUGUUCACUACGAAUUGAAUUUAUCCUAGUACACAAUUCAAAUAGCCAUGAAAUUUGUUUCAUUUAAAACUAGACUCAAUUAUUAAUCUAUACAUUUAAACUAUAUUUCUUAAUUUAUUUUGUACAAUUUUUAAUGAUUUUUCAAAAUUAGAACAGGGGAUCACAUAGUCAUUCUAAGCGAGUCACACUCAAAUAUAAAUAUCUCAAAAUAUAGAGUUCCUUUACUUGUUCUGUUUAUUUUACAUGGAAAUAGACUCCUUAAGCUUUAAUUACAUAUCUCAUUCAGCCUCUAAUUAAAUUCAUACUAUUUUUGGUGAUUUUUCAAAUUCACAUCACUGCGACUAUCCAAAACAGUAUUAUUGCUAAUUCACUCUUUCACACUUUCUUUGUAUUAACCUCAUUUUAACAUGCAUAUCACAAUUCAUUUUCACCACAUUUCAUACAUCACAAGUAUAGGUCCAUGAUUACAAUGUCACCAUAAAACCAUCCCGUUGAACAAUUCGGAUCAAUCCUCGAUACUUGAUGGUUUCAGCACACAGCCCCACCAUCAUAUUUCAUAUAAUUCGGCUCUCUUCUACACAUGGUGAACACUUAGUACCACCCAUGUGACCUAGCCAAUUUAUCUUGUAGCUCUCUUGUCUACAUGGUGUCCUUCACUUGGAAUCACACAUGCGACCUAGCUACAUUUAUCCUCUCCCGUAGCUCUCUUGUCUACAUGGGAUACAUCCCGUAUCACACAUGCGACCUAGCUACUACAUAGUAUCUCGUAGCUCUCUUGUACACAUGAUGUGCACUCAGCACCAUACAUGUGACCUAGCUACGUUUCAUCUAUAUUAUUCAAUCUUUUCGAAAGUUCAACUGGGAUUUCUCUCGCUAUUACUUAUUUCCAUUCUUCCAAUAGUCAAUUUAUGAUUCAAAAUCAACUAAAAUAUAUAAAAUAGGCUGAAAUAUAAAAAUGUAAAUGAAGUUAAUGUAUUAUUUACAUACAAACUUACCUCGGUGAAAAAUAUGAAAAUUUUGCAAUUUAGUCCAAAACCUUUUCCUUCCCCCGUUCGGAUCUCAAUUUCUGUUGGAGAAAUCACAUGUGAAGGAUCAGAACGAUAACGUAGCAACAUUGAUACAUGAAAUACGUUAUGAAUUCUUUCUAAUUCUGCCGGUAAUGCCAACCGAUAUGCCACUGGUCCAAUCCUCUUAAAAAUCUCGUACGACCCAAUAAAAUGCAGACUCAACUUGCCUUUUCGGCUAAAUCUUAGAAUCUUCUUCCAUGGUGACACCUUCAAGAACACUUUAUCACCCACCUGAAAUUCAAUCUCUUUUCUUUUUAAAUAUGCAUAUAACUUUGUCGACAUGAAGCAGCUUUAAAGUAAUCACGAAUUACUUUUAAUUUCUCUUCAGUUUCGUUAACUAGAUCAACUCCGUGAAUCUGUUUCUCACUAAAGGAGUCCGACACUUGCGACCAUACAAGGCUUCGUACGGUGCCAUCUGUAUACUUGACUGAAAACUGUUAUUGUAGGCAAAUUCAACCAAAGGUAGAUAUUUCUCCCAACUGCCUUCAAAUUCUAAAACACAGCAUCUAAGCAUAUCUUCGAGUACUUGGAUUACUCUUUCCGACUAACCAUCUAUUUGUGGAUGAAACGCGGUACUAAAGUUCAAUUUUGUGCCCAAAGCUUCUUGUAACUUUUUCCAGAAUCUCAAGGUAAACCUCGGAUCUCUAUCUGAUAUUAUAGACAUAGGUACCCCGUGCAACCUCACAAUUUCAACAAUAUAUAAUUCAGCUAAUUUAUGAAGUGAGUAAUCAGUACGUACCAGUAUAAAGUGAGCCGAAUUUGUUAACCUAUCAACCACUACCCAAAUAGAAUCCUUCUUUUUAGGAGUCAGAGGCAAACCGAUUACAAAAUCCAUGGUAAUCCUAUCCCAUUUCCACUCAGGCACCAUUAUCGGUUGGAGUAAUCCUGAAGGCACUUGAUGCUCAGCUUUUACUUGUUGACAGAUCAAACACUUGGUUACAAAUUCAGAAAUGUCCCUUUUCAUGCCUGGCCACCAAUAUAACUUCUUUAAAUCAUUAUACAUUUUUGUGCUACCAGGGUGAACUGACAAACAGCCACUAUGCGCCUCAUGUAAUAUUUUCUGAAUCAAUUCAUCAUUUUUCGGUACACAUAUCCUGUGUCGAAACAUCAAACAGUCAUCUGGUCCAACUCGAAUAUCUGAGUCGUAACCCGAUUCGCACUGAGGUCUCUUGGUUCGCAACUCACUAUCGUUCUUUUGAGUAUCACAAAUUAGCUGGAGAAAUAACAGUUUAGCCCUCAUCUCUGCUAAGAUUGACCCAUCAUCAGACAAUGCUAACCCCGUAUUCAUGGCUCUCAAAGUAAAAAGAGAUUUCCUGCUCAAGACGUCAGCAACUACAUUCGCUUUUCCCGGAUGAUAAUCAAUCAUUAGCUCAUAAUCCUUCAAUAGUUCAAGCCAUCUCCGCAGUCUCAAAUUCAAAUCCUUUUGAUUCAUCAAAUACUUCAAACUUUUGUGAUCAGUAAAAAUUCGGCAUUUUUCACCAUACAAAUAAUGUCGCCAGAUCUUCAAAGCAAAGACAAUAGCGGCCAAUUCCAAAUCAUGUGUAGGAUAGUUCUUCUCAUGCGGUUUUAACUGUCUUGAGGCAUAAGCUACCACUUUACCCUCUUGCAUCAACAUACAUCCAAGGCCUGUCAAUAAUGCAUCACUAUAAAUUACGAACUCCUUCCCUGGCUUGGGCUGUACUAAAAUUGGUGCUUCAGUCAAUCGUGCUUUCAACUUUUCAAAACUCUGCUGACAUUUACCAGUCCAUUCAAACUUAACAUUCUUUUGCAGCAACUUAGUCAUAGGAGAGGCAAUCAUCGAAAAUCUCUCGACAAAACGUCUAUAAUACCCGGCCAAGCCUAAAAAGCUUCUAACCUCGGAUACAUUCUUUGGCGGUUUCCAAUCAACGAUCGUGGAAAUCUUGCUCGGAUCCACUCGAAUACCAUCACCUGAGACUAUAUGUCCCAAAAAUCUGACUUCAUGAAGCCAGAACUCACUUUUACUAAACUUAGCAAACAGUUUCUUUUCUCUCAAGAUCUGCAAUAUGGUUCUCAAGUGUUCGGCGUGCUCAGACUCAUCCCAAGAAUAAAUUAGAAUGUCAUCUAUAAACACUACUACAAACUUAUCUAAAUAUGGCCGAAAGAUUCGGUUCAUCAAGUCCAUAAAUAUAGCUGGAGCAUUUGUUAAGCCGAAAGGCAUCAGAAGGAACUCAUAAUGUCCAUACCUUGUCCUAAAGGCAGUUUUUGACAUAUCCGACUCCUUAACUCUCAACUGGUAGUAACCGGACCUCAAAUCGAUCUUUGAAAACACUGUGGCCCCCUUUAACUGAUCGAAUAAAUCAUCAAUCCUCAGCAACGGGUACUUGUUCUUUAUAGUCACCUUAUUGAGCUGACGGUAAUCAAUGCAAAGCCUCAUUGAGCCAUCCUUCUUCUUUACGAAUAAUACAGGAGCACCCCAGGGAGAGAAACUCGGUCUCACAAAUCCCUUGUCUGUUAACUCUAGCAACUGAGCCUUCAAUUCUUUUAAUUCAGUCGGAGCCAUUCUAUAUGGAGCAAUCGAGAUCGAUGUAGUCCCCGGCAACAAAUCAAUGGCAAACUCUAUCUCUCUGUUCGGAGCCAAUCCAGGCAAUUCCUCUGGAAAUACAUCUGGAAAGUCACAGAAUAUCGGUACUGAUUCAAGCUUCAAUUUAAACAGCUCAGUAUUCAUUACAUAGGCCAGAUAAGCUUCACACCCUUUCCUUAUGUAUUUCUAUGCAGACAUGUGCGAAAUCGCCAUAGGCAAUUUAUUUGAUUCAUCAGUAAUCACAUCGGGAGAUGAUGCAUCCUCUCGGGCACGUAUGGCAUAAGCUCUAAUAGGCGCUCUAGCUUCUGAUCUCGCCGCUGAAUCUUCAUUACAGUUUUACUGCCAGCUCCACUUCCAGUAUUUCUCGGUGGUCUACCUCUGCUAGCGGUAGUACUCUGUCUAGCACUCUGAAAUUUUUCCUCUUUAACUUUCUUCGGACAGUCUCUGAUAAAUGCUCGCGAGAACCGUACCUGAAACAAGCUCGCUCGUUUCCCCAACACUCUCCAUAAUGUUGCCUGCCACAUUACUGACAUUCGGACUUUCUAGAUCGCACAUUACAUACACUUGCCAUUGAAGUAGCUUGAGCUUUAGACCUUGAAUAUGCCCUACCACGAUCUCUGUGUGAAUCCCUAGUUGAAACUGUAAUUCGAGGGUUUGUCUCUUUGGACCUCUUUGAUUGAGAUUGAAAUAACUUGCUUAUCGGCCUCUUUCUGGCAUCUCGAGCCUCAAUAGCAGCUUUUCUUCUUUCUUUGUUCAAUUCUUCGGCUUUAAGAGCUCGGUCAACCAAUACUACAAAUUCUUUCAGCUCCAAAAUUCCCACAAGCACUUUAAUGUCCUUAUUUAUCCCAUCCUCAAACCUUUUACACAUAAUGGCCUCGGUGGACACACAUUCCUGAGCAUACUUGCUGAGUCUUACAAAAUCACGUUCAUACUCUGCCACAGACAUCUUGCCCUGCUUCAAUUCAAGGAACUCCUUCUAUUUUUGAUCAAUAAAUCGCUGACUUAUGUAUUUCUUUCUGAAUUCUUCUUGGAAGAAAUCCCAAGUAACCCUUUCUUUUGGCACCACUGCUACCAAAGUCUUCCACCAAUGGUAGGCUGAAUCUCUUAAAAGUGAUACAGUACACUUUAAGCACUCCUCGGGUGUACAUGAGAGCUCAUCAAAUACACGGGUAGAAUUUUCAAGUAGAACUCUGCUUUCUCGGGAUCAUCAUCGAUCUUUGCUCUAAACUCUUCGGCCCAUUGUUUUCGAAUCUUGUCAAUCGGAGGCUUGUUCAUUCUUACCAAAUCUAUGCCUUGAGCAGCUACAGGAACCGUCUGAGGUAUGGGAGGGGGUUGAGGAGGUUGAGCAUUUGGGUUUGCUCGAAUAAACUCAGUAUACCAAUUGUUCAUCAUUUGGAGAAAGGCAUCCCGAGCCUCAUCUCCCUGUCUCAAUGUCUCAGGUCUACUUUCUACAGGCGCAGUCCCUUGUGCAGGAGCCGGUGCAUUACUAGCAGCAUCAUCAACCGCAAUUCCGUCAGGAUCCAUUACUAUAUUAAAACAAAACACAGUUUAGAAUAAUCAGGAGUCACCACACUAUCACAGUAUAUUUAUGGCAUGUAUAGCUACACUUUUACACACACUUUAUUAGUUCGAGAAUCGACUAAACUAUGGCUCUGAUACCACUAAAUGUAACACCCCUUACUCGUAUCCGUCGCCGGAACAGGGUACGAGGUAUUAACAAAUCAUAGUACAUACUAUUAAAUAAAAUCGAGACAAAAAUAUGGCGUGCAAUUAGAUCAUGAAUCAUUAUAACAUAUGCCUUUAACAAUACUAGCCAAUGUCAAAGGCUUCGUACAAAAUAAUCGGUCAAAUACUAUAAUUAAUAUUUUAAACUUAGGCAAUUAUGACACAUAACAAAAUAACAAAGUCUACUAUACAUGCCAUAAUUCAAAAUGUUCAGUUCAAAUACCCAAAAGUAUUGAUAGUAUAGGCAGAUCUUCAACGAUCCUUGACUCCUGUGCAAGCUGGACGACACUAUAAGACAAAAGAGAGAAAAGAAAGUAAGCCUAUAGCUUAGUAAGCAAGUAUAUAAAUAAUGAAUAAAGAAUUUAAUAUGUUUACACAAUAACUCAAGUGUAUCUACUUUUAAUUUCACAAUUUGCUCUACUUUGGUCAAGCUGUCUCUCCUACGUCAUAUUCACUAAAUAAAUCAUAACUCGAGUUACAAAACUCAAAAUUCAAAUCCGUAAAAUUUCCAUGAAACUAGACUCAUAUUAAUUCUUACUAAAAUUUUUCUAUAAUUUUUGGUCCAGCCAAUUAGUAUAGUUUAUUAUUUAAAAUUUCCCCUAUUAUACAGCUCGACUGAUCUGACCUCUGUUCACUAUGAAUUGAAUUUAUCCUAGUACACAAUUAAAAUAGCCAUGAAAUUUGUUUCAUUUAAAACUAGACUCAAUAAGUAAUCCAGACAUAUAAACUAUAUUUCUUAAUUUGUUUUGUACAAUUUUUAAUGAUUUUUCAAAAUUAGAACAGGGGAUCACAUAGUCAUUCUAAGCGAGUCACACUCAAAUAUAAAUAUCUCAAAAUAUAGAGUUCCUUUACUUUCUUUGUUUCUUUUACAUAUAAAUAGACUCAUUAAGAUUUAAUUCCAUAUCUCAUUCAGCCUCUAAUUAAAUUCCUACUAUUUUUGGUGAUUUUUCAAAUUCACAUCACUGCGACUGUCCAAAACAGUAUUAUUGCUAAUUCACUCUUUCACACUUUCUUUGUAUUAACCUCAUUUUAACAUGCAUAUCACAAUUCAUUUUCACCACAUUUCAUACAUCACAAGUAUAGGUCCAUGAUUACAAUGUCACCAUAAAACCAUCCCGUUGAACAAUUCGGAUCAAUCCUCGAUACUUGAUGGUUUCAGCACACAGCCCCACCAUCAUAUUUCAUAUAAUUCGGCUCUCUUCUACACAUGGUGAACACUUAGUACCACCCAUGUGACCUAGCCAAUUUAUCUCAUAGCUUUCUUGUCUACAUGGUGUCCUUCACUUGGAAUCACACAUGCGACCUAGCUACCUUUAUCCUCUCCCGUAGCUCUCUUGUCUACAUGGGAUACAUCCCGUAUCACACAUGCGACCUAGCUACUACAUAGUAUCUCGUAGCUCUCUUGUACACAUGAUGUGCACUCAGCACCAUACAUGUGACCUAGCUACGUUUCAUCUAUAUUAUUCAAUCUUUUCGAAAGUUCAACCGGGAUUUCUCUCGCUAUUACUUAUUUCCAUUCUUCCAAUAGUCGAUUUAUGAUUCAAAAUCAACUAAAAUAUAUAAAAUAGGCUGAAAUAUAAAAAUGUAAAUGAAGUUAAUGUAUUAUUUACAUACAAACUUACCUUGGUGUAAAAUAUGAAAAUUUUUCAAUUUAGUCUAAAACCUUUUCCUUCCCCCGUCGAAUACGAGUAAGGGGUUUUAUACAAUUCCUUAUGGAGUUCAGUGUGGAUUAAAGGGAUCAAGGAAAGAAUCAAAAAUUAUGAUGAAUUCUCGAUUAAAAUGCCUGUAAAUGUUGCCUAUCCUCGAUAGAAAAUAUGAGUAUCAGAUAUAAGACACAUCAUGAAGGGUAUAUGGAAAGUCUAAAAUAAUGAAGAACAAGGUCAAGACCCAUAAGAAAGUAAUGCUUAUUAGAACUUACUUAUGGUUGAUGGUUAUGUACAUUGACAGUUAGCUUGGAGAAAACAAGGCAUUAACUACGCCAACGAAAUUUAUGAAUUCUCCUAUGAAAUUAAGAGAGUUUACAUUUGUGCAUAAAAUUUCAUUUUUCUUAAAAUUUAAGAAGCUUUCUAUGAAUAUCAACGUACAAGAUCUCACUAAGUUCUUUCAAACUUAUAGAAUUCACUACUUGUAUGCAAGUUAGAUGAAGACUUGAGGAUCGAGUGGAAAGACCAAGCUAGACACCAUUAAAUGUUAGUGAUGGGCGCGGUAGCUGUUUCAUGUAUAUAAAAGGGCACCUUUAGAGGCCGCGCUUCGAAAAUUAAGUUGGAUAUAUCUAUAUCAAAUUCUUAAUUUAAAAAUUUGUAAAUAACUGCUAGGUUUAAUAAGGUCUCAAAGUUGUAAGAAUUUGUCACUUGUAUGAUAUGAGUUCUAGUAGAAGUUAAAUUUAGAAAUUUUAGAUUUGUCUAAGUACGUAAUUAAAUCAACUUAGGAAAUUUGCUAAGAUAUUCAGGCUAAUUGUGACAUUUUGUACUUGAACCUUGUGAUUGGGUCAGGUAUAGUUUGUUACAGGGGAUGGCAAUGGUGGAUGAGAAAACUGAAACUUUUCUUUUUCUUUUCUUACUUUUGUUGAGAAUAAGAAGAAGAAAAAAAGAAUGUCCUUCCAUUUCUCUUUCCCACUAACACUUACACACACUAUUAAAACUAGCUUUAUUUGAUAAAUUGUUUUGAUAUAACAAACAAAAAUAUUUUUGAAUGAAGCUUGUUUUCGAACAAAGAAAUUGUAAAGUUCAAAGCAUAAAAAUUAUUUCAAGACUUCCGAACAUCUUAGAAAAUGUUUUAAACACUUAAAACUUUUAGACAAAGUUUAAAAACUAUUUUAAACUCUUUAACUUGAUUGAAACAUUUUUAAAUUUGUUGAAAAACUAUUUCCUAAAAAAAGUAUCAAUAUUGUCCAAACAAUAUUGAUACCCAUUCAACUUUUAUCGAUUCCAUUUUCUAUAUCAAUACUAAAGUUGCUUACUGUCUUGAAACAAAAAUUGAAUAAAAGCAAAAAGUAUCAAUUCUUUUCAGAAUAUAUCAAUACCUAUUGGAUUUUAUCGAUAACAGUUUUGUAUUCUGACUUGAUGAUUUUUCAAACAAUUACAAAAAGUAUCAAUAACUGAUCGACUGUAAACGUCAUAGCAAUAAUGUGCAAGCAUACACUGUCAAUGCAAGUAUAAUAGACAGACGUGAGUCUGUCGCAUAUCAAUUCCACAGGGAUGGUUGUCUUUUGUCUAUUAAUGUCAGUGCAAUACUAAAUAGAAAUGAGGUAAAUUGUGAGUAUAGCUAUUGAAGCAAUAAUUCGAAAACAAUAAGAUAAAGUAUGCUAUAGUUAAACUAGGAUCCCCAACAUGAAUCUUCAGUAGUAUACUAUGUACUCACAUGGUAUAAAAGAUAGGUGAUUAUCGAUGCAAUAAAAUUUAUGUAUAUCUUAACAAAUGCAACUCUGCGGUUUAAUCUGAGAAUUAACCAUGCACAUUAACCUCACCUUCUGAUGAUGGAAAUAGGGCACUAUUAAGAACAAGUGGACUAAAUUCCUUUAGUCUUUACUCAACUUCCGCUGAAAAGCUUAUUAGCUCAAAUUGUCACUGCACCUUCUAAUGUUAGUGACUGCAAUAACACUUCCAUAUUUAGAACAUUCAAACCCCUAAGAUUAAACAACAAAAAUAUGAUUUAAUAAGAUAACAUUUAACAAACCAUUCAUUGUACUUCCAUACAGUAGAAAACAUAGAGUAAUCACCGGCGUUUUCAAGAAAUGAGAAAGAAUCAAGUGGAGAAUACUAUUUCUAGGCUAUUCGAUUGAAUCUAUCCAUUUCCCCUAGUUUUGCACUUAGAUCUCCUCGUCAGAAGUAGAUCUGCAUCAGUCUUCAUGUUGGCUCACCCAAGGAAACUCAAGUUGUCAUAGCCACAAGCUUCAAAGUAGGGUAAGAGAAUGGUGGUACACCAAAAAUUUUCCUCCUUUCAUUCUUCUCACGUUAUCCUUUUAUGUUUUCCUCAACAAUAUAGGUGUCCUUCUCUCAAUAUUCUUCUAUCCUUGUUCGUACAAGUUAGUUACACCGGACUGGACAGCUUACUCAUGGUUGGCUCUUAUAAGACAACUGUCAACUGCAGCAACAAUUUUGAAUGCCAUCUAGAAUUAACUCCUACAAUGACACUGCGAAUAUCUAUCAACUGCAGCAACAAUUUCAGAUGCAAUCUUGAAUUAACUCAUGUAGCGACAUUAGUGCAGAAAGAUAGCAAAAUUAAAGAUGAUAUAGGCUAGGAUUCACUGAAUUAUAAAAAUGCAAUUUAUUAAACUAAACAUGCUAAAAUGUAUGCUAAGGGUAACUAAAUUGGAACAAUUUAAACAAUAAGUAGGGACAAAAAAAAUAUUUUCUUUCUACUACAAUCGAUAACCUUUCAAAAAAUAUAGAUACCUUUUACCAUGUAUCAAUAAAUAGUUUUUGGUAUCGUUGUAAACUAACUUUAAUGGUCACUAAAUGAGACAUUAAAUGCUAAUAGUAUUAAUACUCGUAGAAAAAGUAUCGAUACUUUUUGUUGCAGGUGAAUUAAAUGAUACAGUAUUUUAAUCCCCAGUGAUUCUAUUUAUUUCCUCAACAACCACAACAGUUGGAAAUGAAUUAGGGGGUAUAAAUACCAGCUUCCAAAGGUCCUACAACAGCAAGAAAAAAUAUUCAAGCUUAAAGAUCAAUAAAAAAAAACCUUUUGUCCUAACAUUUUCUAUACUUUUCUUAUAAACACUUGUGAGCUUCAUUGUUAUUCUAUCAGCUCAAGUCUUCUUCUUUGUAAUUGAACUUAAAUUGCAAACAUUUUGAUCUUGUAAGGAAUUGUUCUUGGUUUGCUUAUUUGUAUUUCUUUGAGAGGGUCUGUGUCUUAAGGUUUGGGUAGAAACCUUAAGGGAGUUUGUAAGGUUAAACAUUAUCCUCAAAGGUUGUCAAAUUAGUGAAUUUAGGAAAUUCCUUAGUAGUGGAAAGCUAAGGUAGUGAAGUAGGCAAUUGGGGUCGAACCACUCUAAAUUCUUAUGUUCAAUUUUCUAUCCUUUCUCUCUAGCAUCCACAAAAAUUUUUAAAAGCCAAUCCAUCCCCUCUUGGCAAUUUCAAUUUGAUUUUUGAGAUAAUACUUAUAUUUAACAAAAUAAUUAACUUAUUAAUUAACCAAAUCUAAUGGACAUUAAUUCAUCCUUACAUAAGUAAGUGGAAAUGGAUGGCAAAGAGGCUGUUGGGCCACUAAUCAAGCUUUAAUAAUGGCUAAAUUGCUCGAGUCUUUGGCAUAAUUAUAACUUAAGGGCUUGCUUAAACUCUAAUAAAAUCUUUCUAUUUAGCUCACAUCACAAUUAAAUCUCUAUAUUCUAAUUGAAAACUUAUAUAAUUUAAUCACUUGACAAUUUGAUCUUUUAAUUUCAUAUACGUCAUAUAACUCCUUAAAUAAAAUUCUUGCGGUUAGCUUGACUUAGAAAAUUUAGUCUUGAAAUCGAAUUUUAUACUUUGAUGACACCAUCAAAAAUCAGGUCAUUACACGUGCUUUUUAUUUUAGUCAGGUAGAUUAAAUCUUAAAUCUAAGGUUUAUAUUUAUUCAUUUUGAUCUAAGGAUUAAAAACAUUUUUAUUUUCAUGGUUUUCAUUUUAAAAGUUCUCACUAUAGUUGUCACCAAAUUUAAUUCCUACCAAAGUGAGUUUAUUUCAAAUAUAGUUAUUUGAUAAAUUAAAAAUUAAGUACUAAAAAAUAAGUGCUAAAAUUAAAUAUUGAAAAUUAAUGCAUUAAAUUUAAGUUUCAAAGUUUGUUUGAUAUAUUACUUAAAACUUAAUACAAAAUAUAAUUAGAUUGUAUGAUAAAUAUAAACUUUAAAUUAUUAAAAUUUUAUUCUACAAUUUAUACUUAAUUUUUAACUAUUUCAUAAAUUUUAAACAUUUCAUAUUAUUUUAAACAAAAUUAAAUUUUAAACCUAAAAUUUAUAAUAUUAAAAUAAAUAAAAAGUAUUUUUUACUAAAUGGUAAGUAGCUAUUAUCUAUUUAUUAUUUAUUAUAUUUUUAUUGAAUUGUUUUUAUUUUGAAUUAUUGAGCAUAUAUAAAAAAAUAAAUAUUUCAAAAUAUUAAAUUUUAUUAAAUCUAGUUUGUGAAAGAAAAAAACCCUCGCACGUGAACACAAAUAGUUCACACGAACGAACUAGGGUUUGGAAAGCGUAGUCCUUUAAAUAUCAAUAGAAGCUCUCCUCUUCGAAAUUCUCAAUCGAAACGUCACCAUUCUAAAGAGGUCAUCGUAAAUUCGAGUACAAAGCGCUAACCGAGAUGAGAGCCAAGGUACUUUCCUCUAAUCUCUCAUUUUCAUGAUUUUUUUUUAUUCUUCUUUCUUAUUUUCUUCUUCAAAUAUAUAAAUCCUUUUGCGUUUAGAAAUUAAUUUGUUUUUACUUAUUAUUCGUAGAACUUAGGGGUUUUAUGAUGGAUGAUCUGUUUUCGAAAACGAAAAAGCGGGCAUUGAAGGGCAGGAAUAUUUGUGAUAUUGGUUGUAAUGAAUGUAGAGCCUAGGAUAAAUUUGAUUACAAUCUGAUUAAUCCAAAUUCUUUAGUUUUAAUUGCUUUUGCAGUUUUAGCUAUGUUUCCUUUUAGUUAACCGAUCGUAAUCAAUGUGGUAAAGUAAAUAAAGAAAAUAAAGGGAACUGGGUGAAUUUGAGAGAUUAUUGUGUUGAGACUGAAAAAUGAGUAAAGCUGGUGAGAGAAGCCUUAAGCGUAAGUGAAUUAUGUGUUAACAUGCAACUAUAUGGGUUAUCAAUUUGGAAAGUGCUUAUAUUUCGGUUAGCUUUUUAGCCUUUUUUCCUCUUUCCUUUAGAUGUUAACUUGCAAAGUGACUGAGAUGAAAUGCUAUUGAGGAAAAUUAAUUUGUUAGCUUUGGUGCUAGUUUGGGGUGGGGAAAUGAAUGUAAUAUGAUAUGCUAUUCAAGCUAAAAAUCUUGAACAAAUUCUUCCCUUGAGCAUUAUUUUGACUCUUCUGGUGAUUCAAAUAUAACUUUGUUCAAUUCCCUUGAACAAAAAGUUUUAUCUGGUUGAUAUACAUUCUUGUUCUAGCUUUCCCUAAUUAAUUUCUUGGCUAUUUGAACAAAAUGGACAUGGUAACAGUUUGGAAUUAUUUUGUGAGGGAGUGAUUUGAAACUAAAUGCUCAACUAUCUUAUGCUUUUCAGUGGAAGAAGAAGCGUAUGAGGAGGCUGAAGAGGAAGCGCCGAAAGAUGAGACAGAGAUCCAAGUAGAUGCGCCUUGGACUGAAUUAGUUUUGCCCUGACAAUCCCUUGUCUUCAUAAUUAUCCUGCAUAUGUUGCAUUAAGUUGUGAAGAUUGAAGGGUAUUUUCAGGCAACCUUAUCUGUUUUGUCUUCUAUAUCUCGGUUAAAGUUUUAAGACUGUUUGAGAUGUUUGUCUAGUACUAUUAGAUAUUAUGUUGGGGAUUUGUGGUUUGAUCUGUGUAAGCAGUUAUCUUAACAUCCUAAAUGUUUGAAAUUGAAACUUUUGUUCUUCUUAUAUGGUCUAUAAUAUGCGAGAUAGAUUGUUUCCUUAUAUCCUCUAGCAUUUAUGAGAUUGUUGAAAUGGCCUUCGACUGGUUAGAUUAUUAGUUGAAAUGGCAUAGUCAUCAGAUCAGGUAUGUCAGCAGUUCUCGAUUCGAUCUGGGUUAUCAUUACAUCCUUCCAAAUCCAACAUAAUUAUUUGGUAUGGAGUAAAAGACCAGGAGAUACCAUCCUUGCGGGUUUUAUCGAGGAUAAAACGUACUUGAAAACAUUGAUAUUCAAAUUGAGUAAAAAAAAACCCCUUAAAAAACAUAGUAUGAUGAGUAAAAAAAAAAAGUUUUCAAAAUGAGUCUUUUGUUCGAUGCUUGUUGAAGAGGGGGAUAAUAAAUAAUGUAAUAUCAGCCAUUAAUACAUAAUUAAAAGUGUUCUACAUGUAAUAAAGGAUUUACAACAACAACAAUAACCAGCUUAUUCAAAUAAAAGUGCCACAAAUUUGAGUCCUUGUGCUUGAACUAGAUUCAUCUUCAUUCCACCUUCCAAAUAAUUGGACCACUGCCAAAUGAUCUCAAAGCCAUUUCUUCAUAACAAAAUUUAUAUUUAUCAGUCAGAUCAGAAUCAAAAUCACAGAUCGAUAAUCUUUCGAUUUCUUCCAUUUUCCUACGUGUUUUUGCACUCCGAAAAUCAAAAGUUAUCAAUGGCAGAAAGGUUGUACUGCAUUAUAAGCCUUUCUACAACAUGUUGACUAACAACUUCUCUCAUAUGCAGCUCCUUCAAUACUUGUGCUGCCAGCUCCAUUUGUCCUUCAUGAGCAAUCCCUUCCACAAGUAUGGUAUACGUUGUCUCGUUAGGCAUAUAGCCUUUCUCUAUCAACAUCUCGAAAACCUUCAAGGAGAGAUCAGUUCUGUGGGAUUUGCAGAAUCCCAAUAUAAGGGCAUUGAAAUUGUCAACAUCAGGCUUAAAGUUACUUUCUUCCAUUACUAUGAAAAUCUGCAUUGCUGCUUGCAGCAUUCCCUCCAAGCACAAUCCUCUGAUUAGUGAGGAAUAAGUGUACGAGUCCGGAGUGAAGCCGGACUUGGUCAUUUCAUAUAAAAGCUGAAAUGCUGGAUAUGUGUUCCCUUUUCUGCAUAAACUAGAAAUUACACUCUUGUAGAAAUCAUUAGGAGAGGAACUUUGUUUGCUCGCAAGGCUUUGAAAUAUGGAGAAUGCCUCUUGCACCAUUCCCUGCUCACACAGCACAGCAAUAGCAUUAUAUGUUCCUUCAUUAGGUUUACAGCGUCUAUAGAUCAUCUGGUCUAGACACUUAACCACAAGAUCCACCUUCUCCUCUUGGCAAAGUUGAGCGAUUAUUGGGUUAUAACUUGUAGCACUGACUUUAAAACGUCCUCUAAUCAUUUCAUCUAAAACAUCCAUAGCAUGGUAAGUCCUGCCAUGGAGGGCAAGAGAACCAAUCAAAAUAUUGUAAGUAACUACAGAAGGAGAACGGUCGUCACCAUCCAUCUCCGCCAAAAGCUCAUUUGCUUCUUUCCACCGUCCCUCGUAACACAAAUUCCUUAACACAAUGUUAUAGCUCACAACAUUUGGAUUAAAUCCUUUAGCAGGCAAAUCUCUGAAGAACCUAAUAGCUUCAUCAGUCCUCCCUUCCUUGCACAACCCAGUCAACAAAACAUUGUAACUAACCAAAUUAGGCUUCCCACCUUUGGCAAUGAUCUCAUCCAAAAGCUUCGUUGCUUCAUUUACACCUUUUUCCUUAUAAGCAGCUUCAAGCAAGAAAGAAUAAGUGAAUUCAUUGGGAACUAGUCCUUUUUGUAUUAACCUAUCCAAAAGCUGCAAGCUUUGCUUCAAGUUUCCAUGCAUACAAAGACCUCUAACUAAAGAGUUAUAAGUAACAGUAUUAGUUGGAUAACCAUGAGCCUCCAUUUUUUCCACUAACUGCAUUGCAUGCCCAACAUUUCCUCGCUUGCACAAAUGAUUCACCAAGAAUGUAUACGAAGCUGCAUCAGGUAUGAUACCAGAAUCAACCAUCAUCUCCAUCACUCUAAUAGACUUUUUCAUCUUAUUAACCUUGCACAAAUCAUACAACAGCUGAGUAGCUUGAACUACAUCAGGCUUCUGUCCCUUCCCCACCAUAUAUUCCAUGUGAAAAUAUGCAUCGCUAAGCCUAAGUUCCCUACUUUUACUGUCACUCUUCCCAGUCUUCCAGUUGGGUAAAGUAAAAACAGAAUCUUUAGGAGAAAUUGUGAUCUGGGUAGUGGCUAAAACCUUGGAAAAGCCCUUGCUGAGUGAAAAAUAAUGAAGGUUCGCGAUUUGGUAAAAGAAACCAGAUGGUCUCCUUGUCGUUUCAGGUGACGGGUUUGUCAAAAAAGAUAUAGAGUUGAUUAAAGUUGCCAUGGAUUACAAAAACAAAGAAAAAAAGUAUGACAGAAAGAUUAAUUCAAUUCCUGUUGAGUAGUGAAAAGGAAAACAGAAAGCGAUGAGUCUAAGUUCAGCAAAUAUUUUCUAAGAGAAACUGAAGAGAAUAAGAAGGAUGAACAUACAUAUAACUUGGUGGAGUGGGCCUUGAAAUGAAGAUUGUUGGGUGGCUUUUCUUCAGUGAGGAGAGCUUCUUUUACUCUGGCUAGAGGGCAAGGGCAGAGACUCACCUCGUCGCCUGCCCAUUGCCAUCCACUGCUCUUUCCCUCGUUAUCCAACUGCAGCUGGUGGACAAUUUUUUUUACCUACCUACGCGCUGUUUACUAGUAUGAUAGCCACGCGCUGCUUUCCCGAACUUCCUGCAAUGUUAAUGCUUUUUUAAAGCCAAGCUUCCCGGUAUUGAGUUGUGAUAUUAAUUUUUAGGUAUUUAAUGAAGUAAAAUUUAGACUAAAAUAUUCUUUAACCAAACAGAGUUCAUAUACACUAACCAUUGUUAUAAUCGACGGCUUCUACGAGACAAGCACGGUAAAACAUUUCCCUUCCUUAAACUUAACACGUGCCUUGAAAUUUGUAACACACAUCGCGAGGUGUUAAGGUAAACUGACGAGCUCAGAAACUAACGAGCUUGCAGAUUGACGAACUCUCUAAUUAGCGAGCUCACAAACUGGCAAGCUUGUAAAGCAACAUAGACGGCUCCCUACAUGCGAGGUUAUUCGCAAGGAAGGGCUAAAAUUAUAGCCAUACCAAAAACAUGCGUAAUAAACGUGUUUACCAAGUUCCAUUCCAAUCCCAUUUUGUCAAAUACUCUAAUUUACAAUUCAAAGAUUUCGCGUGUGACAAUCACACAUGUAAGUUUAAGUAUAGUAACAAGUAAUAUAAAAAGAUUGUUCCCCUAGGAAGCUAUUAUUAAUUAUAACACUAAUCACCAACUAUUACUCUAUAAUUUAUUCAAAUAAAUCAAUAACAAUUGUUUUUUGAAAUUUAAAUUAGUAAAUAAAAUUUAAAAAAUUAAUCAAUAAUAAAACACUAGUAUUACAAUUUUAUCCAAUGAAUUAACUAAUUAUUAUUAUCUUCACCCAAUUUAUCUUGAUAGAGUUUAUUACUAAUCUUGGUACUAAGAUUUCCUUAA